AGGGCCAUUGGUUGACGUGAGUAAAUUUCAUUUGUUCAUUAUUGCUGGUCUUUUUGUUUGCUCUAUUGCUAUUUACGAGUAUAAUGAUUAGAUAUGACAGAAUGGGAGCGGAGGAGUGGAACUGUGUGUUGGUGUUGGGUGAUAUAUGAUGUUGAUAUAUUGGUUUCCCUGCGUCUCCCCUAUACUGAUAAUUUGAGAAAUCAUUUUUUUUGGGUCUUCUACCCGUGAGGCAUCUCAGCGGUUGCAAGCUCCUCAACGAUGCAGCUUAUGUUUUCGUGAAGGAUUUUGCUAUCAGUUUGUUCCCUAUUUUUCCUGAAGAAUUUGCCCAAGUACACAGAAAUCUGAAGCAAGGCGAUGCACUCAACCAGGACUCCAUUCCGAAGCCUCGUUUGCCAUACCAGCUUCAGUUAAGCAGGAGUAUCAUCCUAACACUCUCCAAUGUACUCCUGGAGAGUGUUAGGAUGAUACAUCCUCCAUAGUCGCAGCACUCGUUCAGUCGUUCUCACGGUCUCAUCCUGACAAGAGCUGAGAAACCAGGGUCCCUUUGCUCGCUCUGAUGCAAACGCUUGUUCUGGACCGCGAAUGUAAUGCAACAUUGGAUGCGAGCAUCUUUCCACGAGCCAGCCAAGUAUCCGUCCCGGUUCGAGAAUGCUUAAAGCAACUCCAACGCGCUGACCCAAAUAAGGAUGGCAAUGGAUAAGGUAGAGCAAUACUAUAUUCAUAUAGUCAGUGGAUACAAAAUUCUACCUAUACCCAUAUUCAUGGUAUGAAACUUUACCCUACCCGUACCUGUUGGGUACUCGGUGGAUAGAACAAAUAGUACAUAAGUUCACAAUUUUACACUCAUUGAUAGCACAUUUGGCAACAACUUAACAUUAGUUCACAAGUGGGCAGGGUAUGGGUAUACCCAUGGGUACAAGACUAUAUUUGUACCCUGCCCAUGACUUAACGCGCAGGCAGUACCAUGGGUAUAAAAGUGUGCCCAUACCCUACCCAUGCGGGUAUGAUAUUUGUGGGUAAAAUUGCCAUCCUUAGACUGCGCGUGUGUCCGUUUGGGUUUGGAUCGAAACUGACACAGAAGUCGUCCUAACAUGACGACCCAAAUGAGCGAACGUCCGCUUUUUGUCUGUGUGCGACCCAUUUCAGGCUCAAAUUUGGGCCGUGUUUGUGUCGGUGUGAACGUAUGCCCUUGUCCUCCUUCUGGCCUGCCAGUCGGUGGCACAUUGGCCAUUCCCUCUUCCUCCAAUCGACAAACAGCACACCUAGCAGCCCCACCCGCUGCCCAGUUUCUGUGCUCAGGCUAGCUGUCCGUGCCCACAUACCUCCCCAGCACAGCACCUCAUGACGGCCACAUACUCUGGCGUAUGGUAGAUCGUUUUCACCGCUGCCGCACCUCGAUAUCAACGCCACCCCCUCGUUUGCAGCACUCAAGCGCGGCAACCUCGCUCCAGACGCCACCAUGCCCGGCGGACGCCAUCAGGCCUGCUACCUGGUCUCGGAGAGGCGUGAGGCUCUUCAUCGGCCGACUUCUUCCACUUCGCCCUCAAACUGUUCGACGAUUUGCCCGCAAGGUACAAAUGGACUCCGGUGGUAAGUACUUCUUUCACAAUUUCAUUUGCGAUUCAAAUGACUCUUUUGAGGUGCUCGUGCCAAAAGGAAAAUCAGUUCCGAACAAUGGUAUUUUUCGAAGUUUCUCAUAUACCUCAAAUUUGUCUUUAUUGACAUAAGCUUCUCAGAUGUCCAAACAUCACAAAAUUCUGACCUUGCACACAUGAGCAUCUUAGAUGCCUUAAUAUUUCAAUUUUUUUUGAAUUUACUGUUUACAUCAAUGUGUGUAUGAGCCUGGGUGCAGAAUAACCACACUCCUAUGUCUGCCGCUUCUGUCAUUGGAACUCAGAGACCUGAAUCCUAUUUGGCGCUUACGGCGCCAAUUACAACCUUAUCAGUAACUGGCGGCCUAAUCGGGGUUCUUUCAUCACCGGUUUUGGGAAUAGGUCUCCCUUUGGUUUUUCGGGGCUGGUUUUCUCUUCAGUUUUUUCUCCUUUCCCUUUUUCUUUUAUCUUUUUCUAUUUCCCCUUUUUCUUUUCAGGUUUUUUUAUUUUUUAUUUUUCAUGAACUCCUUUUUCCAUGUUCAUGAACUUUUUUAAAUAUCAGAAACAAUUUUCAAAUCCAUGAACUUUUUUCAAUUUCAUGAACUUUUUUCAAUUUCAUGAAUAUUUAACAAUUUUCUAAACUUUUUUCAAAUCUGUGAACUUAUUUCAAGUCCAUGAACUCUUUUCAAAUUUUCAAAUUUGUAAGUUUGUGAACUAUUUUGGAUUUAUGUUUUUUUGAAAUUUUGUACAUUUUUCAAAUUCAUGAACUUUUUCCAAAUCCACAAAUGUUUUCCCAAAUUUGUAAAGUUUUUUCAAAGGCAUGUUUUCUUUCAAACCCGUAAACUCUUUUCAAAUCCAUGAUUUUUUUUGAAUCUGCAAACCUUUUCAGCCUUGGAUAUUUUUUUGAAAAUCAUGAACUUUUUUUUCAGCUCCAAGAUUUUUUUCAAAAGUCAACUGGUCAACAGUAGUCCAACAGCCUCAACAAACUCCAGAGAUUUUAACGGGUGGAAAACAAACUCCGUUCAUUAUUUAGCGUCGGCGCUUCGGUGCAUGCGUUGGAGGAACUGGAUGCUUGACAUUUUUGUACAAAAACAAAAAGUCACCUAAACGCUCAACCUGGCGCUCAUUGGAAAGGGGGACUCCUGCACCAUGUAGAACCUGGGUGCCUCUAUCCCAUUUGGCCCAGUCUGAGAGCAUCUACAAUAAAUAAUGUAAAAUACUCCAUCUGUUCCUAAAUAUAUCUUUUUAGAUAUUUCAAUAAAGACUAUAUAUAAUAUAAAUGCUUGCCACAGAACUAGUUAAGGGUUUCAACGGUGUAAACGUUUUCAAAAAUUUUGAAAAAAAAAUACUGAACCAACACACCUAUAAUAUAACAUGAUCCAAGAGAGGGAUUAAAAAAAUACGACUGUAUGCAUCCUGGAAAAAAACAAAUAAUUCAGUAUAUAUUUAUGUCGCAGUGAGCUGAAAUGCUUAUUAUUUUUGUCGAAGACACAUAGAUGCAUAUUUUGACAAUCCCUCCAUUGGAUCAUCUUAUUGCAUUAGAGAGAUGCUCUCAUAUUUAUUUCAUAUUUUUUGAUAAGUUUUAAACCGUUAAAAGUUUAGCGACCUUUAACUAGUUCUAUGACAAGUUAUGGUAGUGUGUGUGUCUAUAUAUAGGGUGGGUCUAUUAUGAUAACACCCUUAAGACUCUUAUUCUGCUAACACUCAAGUUAUCUUCUAUAUCUAAAUAGCUAGCCCCCACUAAGAUAUUUCUCUCAACAUGCAAGUAUGCCACCUCAUCAUUCAACAUGCAUAAGAAAAAGUCCACCUCAACAUGCAACUAUGCAUAUUAAAAAUCCAGUACAACAUGCAUGCAUGUAAAAUUUCAUUUUAUUAUGCUAUUUAUAUUUAAUUCUUAUAUACUUUUAGAAACUAUUCUUUCAAGAAUUCAUGUUCCAUAUAAUCAAAAUCUCAUUGAAAUAUUGCAAACAUUCCCGCAACAACGUGCGGGGCAUCAUCUAGUUCUGAUAACACAUCGACAUUGCCCGCACACUGACCGAACCGCAGCAAAAGCCCACCCACCCCGUCUACUAAUCCCACGCCCCCACCUACCUCGAGCACUUGCUCCCUCCUCCCCACCACUCCCGACACCACCACCGGCACCCUCAACACCUCACCUAGCCCACUGCCUUCCCCGGCAGGCGCGCCCCAUCCCCCUGCAACCGUCGGCGCGCCCCAUCCCCCUCCAAUNNNNNNNNNNNNNNNNNNNNNNNNNNNNNNNNNNNNNNNNNNNNNNNNNNNNNNNNNNNNNNNNNNNNNNNNNNNNNNNNNNNNNNNNNNNNNNNNNNNNNNNNNNNNNNNNNNNNNNNNNNNNNNNNNNNNNNNNNNNNNNNNNNNNNNNNNNNNNNNNNNNNNNNNNNNNNNNNNNNNNNNNNNNNNNNNNNNNNNNNNNNNNNNNNNNNNNNNNNNNNNNNNNNNNNNNNNNNNNNNNNNNNNNNNNNNNNNNNNNNNNNNNNNNNNNNNNNNNNNNNNNNNNNNNNNNNNNNNNNNNNNNNNNNNNNNNNNNNNNNNNNNNNNNNNNNNNNNNNNNNNNNNNNNNNNNNNNNNNNNNNNNNNNNNNNNNNNNNNNNNNNNNNNNNNNNNNNNNNNNNNNNNNNNNNNNNNNNNNNNNNNNNNNNNNNNNNNNNNNNNNNNNNNNNNNNNNNNNNNNNNNNNNNNNNGCCACCCCUCCCCAGUCCACGUCCCAGCACGAGCCAACACCGGAUCAAGGCCGCGGCGGCACCCCGUGACGUCUCGCCGCCGAAUCCAGGCCAUGCCGACCCCCUGCGACUCCCAGCCGCCGGAUCCAGGCCAUGUCGGCCCUCCCACGGCUUCCAGUCGCCGAUCCAGGUCGCGCCUGCCCUCCCGCGCCGCCCUGUCACCGGAUCCAGGACGCACCGGUCUUUCCGUGGAUCCCGAGCUAUGGGGUCACUUCCACCGGCCUCCGGACUCCUCCAUCUCCCCAUGAUCUCCAACUCCGGCACCCACACCCUCACCCCUGCCCGACCUUCUUCCUACUCUCCCUCCAUCAUGGCUGCCUCCAGGAGGCAUGCUCAUCCCCUCCCGCACUGCAUCAACAUACGAGCCUCACUGCAUCGCCACGCGAGCCGCACUGCAUCACCGCUCCUCACUGACGUGGAUCCCGCAUCUCCCCACCAUCGGAUCCAGACAGCUGCUCGACUUCCGACGACUCCAGCCACCCCCACCCCUCUGGCUUCCUCUCCAUGCAGCAGCACCGCCACUACCUCGCCAUCCCAUAGCCGGAGCUUACGCUCUGCUCCUCGUCUCCUACCUCUUGCAUCAGCGGCGAUAUCCUCGUUCGGUUGUUGGGGGCUGUUCAUGCAGUUUGGAGCUUAUAAUUUUGCAGGAGGGAGGGGCGCGAGGAGGUCCGUCAGCGGCUCCGGCAUGCAGUUGGGGCGAUGUGUGGGUUGCAGCUCCCUUUGACGACAAAGGAGGUUCACAUGUCGCUACAACGCAGCUCGGUUGUCUCUCCGUUCCAGUUUGAUCGAGGCCCACAUCUCCUUCGAUUCAGUUCAGAAAGUGUAAUUCGAGUUGCGACGGGCAGUUUGUGCCCCCCACACACCAUUUGAUUUGGAUUAGUCUGUAAAAAAAGAGUCUUCUGUUAUUUGUGCACUGCAGUUGGGUUGCAGUCCAUUGCACCUGACGUGUAAAGUCGUGCGGUUUCGUCGGGGGACUACAGAAGGAAAAAAAUGUUUUUUGAAGUUUACUUUGUUAUUGAGUGUGUGAUAAAAAAAUUAAAAUUCAUAAAAUAGAUGCAGUCUGUUGAUACAAUGCUUGCGGUUCGCUCCGCUCGUGUGUGAAGUUCACUAAUGUCGAUAGUGUAGUCUUAGACGUGUUUAAAAAAGGUUAGAAAAACGACAAAAAUGUUAUGUAGUUCCCUUUGAUUUGUGUCGCGGUUCACUUCGCCCUCAUGUGAAGGGCACUCGGGCCGUGUGGUGUCAUGUGUUCAAAACAGUAAAUUGCAUCGGCACUUGCAGUGCACUUCGUCGUCGUGUGAAGUUCUCAGUGUCGCCAUUGCAGUGCGGUUGGCCAUCCUUUUAGAAGUAAAAUGUGAGUGUGGUUGUGUACAAAUCAUGCAGUCCACUUACACGUCUUAUGUAGUGCGUUUUUCAGUGCAAAGCAGUGCAGUUUUUAGUUUGAUGCAGUACAUACAAUGAUUUUGGUGUCGCAAAAAAACAGAGUGUCCGCAUUUUGUUAAAAUCAAAAUUAAUCUUAAAUCGUAAGGAAUUAGAGAGGGUGUUCUGCAUGAAAAAGUUGCGCCUCGUCGAUAUCUUUCCAACGGCGUAUAAUUUGAAUCAUUUCGACCAGCAGUUUAUAAAAAUUUCACGAAAAACGGCCGCUGCCUCUUGUCGUCAUCCGCACGAUUUUCAAAAUUAACUAAAAACCGUAAGGAAUCUCAAAACCAUUUCAACACGUGAAAGUUGCGCCUUGUCCAUAGCUUUCCAACGACAUAUUACAUGCCUCGUUUCGAUAAACGGUUAAAACACUAGAGCGAAAACAGUACCGGAAAUUUGAUUUUUUUUGAAAAACAGAAUUCCGUGAUUUAGUAAAUUUGAAACUACUCUUAAACCGUAAUGAAUUAUAGGAAGAAAUAGAUAUGAAAAAGAUGCGUCUCGACGAUAUCUAUCCAACGGUGUAUCAUUUGCUUCAUUCCGACGAGCGUUUUAGAAAAAAUGCAAAAAAAACGCUCGCUGCCACUCGUUUUGGGCCGCACCAUUUUCAAAACUGCUUUUAAACCGUGAGGAAUCUCGAAAUGUGUUCAACAUGGAGAAGUUGCGCCUAAUCCAUAGCUUUUCAACGAUAUAUUACACGCCUCGUUCCGACAAACGGUUAAAAAACUAGAGCGAAAACAGUACCAAAAAACACUGCAUGCAGUUUUUUGCCACGGGAAGUUCACUCGCCUCAAUACUGCAGCACACUUGGUUCAAACAAUGAGGUGCACUUGCGUUGAAUGUGAAGUGCCGAAGUGUUAUCAGAAUAACUAUUCUGAUAAUAUUAUCAGAAUAGACCGGCUGUGUAUACACACACACACACACACACACACACACACACAUACACACAUAAACACUAUUCUGAUCACAGGAUCAGAAUAAUAUUCUGAUCACAACAUGAACUUCCCGAGUAACGCGCCUGACCUUCCCCGAGUAGUAGGUUGAACUUCAGCUAAAAGGUGUCCAAAUGUGGCUUGCGAUAUACCGUUGGAUAGCUAUUGACAUCAGUAUCAUGACCCAACUUAAAUUUUUGGCAAAAUGUAAGCGGUUUAAGAGCAGUUUUGAAAACCGUUUUUUCUUCAUACAAAAAACGUGAAUCAUAUUUUCGAUCGCAUUUUUACACCGUUUAUCGGAAUGAGGCAAAUAAUAUGGCGUUGGAAAGCUGCUGCAAAACCGCUCCUUCCACAUGUUGAAAGUUUUCUCUAAUUCCCUACGGUUAAAGAGUAAUUCGGAAAAUCGUAGAAUUUCGCAAACGGAACACCCGAGUUUUUAUUUUCGAUGCCAUUUCUAAACGGCUAAUCCAAUUGAGGCAAAUAAUAUGACGUUGGAAAGCUUAUGAAAAUGUGCUACUUUUUCAUGUUUAAAGUUUUUUUUUCUAAUUUUGAACGGUUUAAAAGUAAUUUAGAAAACGGUACAAGUUCCACCGAGUUCGUAUUUUUGAGCUAAUUUUUAACCGUACGUCCAAAUGCAGCAAAUGAUAUGGAGUUGGAAAGCUUGAAGAAAUGCAAAACUUUUUUGUAUAUAUUGUUUCUCCUAAUUCAUUAUGGUUUUAUGUUAGUUUUGAAAAUGGUUUAAAACGUAUUUUUGCCGUAAUUUCUACAAACUUUGUUGGAAUGGGGCAAAUAAUAUACCGCUGAAAAUCUAUGGAAAAUUCGAAACUUUUUCAUGUUGAUGGUUUUCUCUGAAUCCUGGCCGUUUUCAAAUAAUUUUGAAAAUGGCGAGAUCAUGCAUUCUGCCUUUAUCGCGAAACAGAUUUUUCAAAUAUGCACCACGUGAAGAACUUGAACUUCUCAGUGUGUGUGCUUGAACUUCACUCUGUUUUUCACGUGUUUUUUUCUUGUAGAUCUCCAUCCACUUCAAGUAGCUCUCCAUCCAUUCACCAGAAUUGAGCAGGUGAUAUACCAAUGGAAAGCUGCUGUAAACACGCAAGUUUCCCGUAUUGAUCAUCUUUUCAUACUCGCGACAAUUUUAAAAGUUUUCCAUCUAAAAUUCAUUCAGCGUAGUAGUUGAACUUCCUACUGUUUUCACGUUGAACUUCCGUGACGUAUUUUUGUUUGUAGUUUUCUCAUCCACUUGUUAGUGUUACACAAAUAAUAUUCCUUUUGUGCAAACGUCUCUCACAAUAAUUUUUUUAACUUUCUCCGACCGAGGACUUGAACUUACACAAAUGAUAUUCCUGUCGUUUUGAGGUAAAUUAGAAAAUGGCAAGAUCAUGAUUUAUGCGUUCAUCGCGAACGAAAAUGCACUGUGUGAAGUAGUUGAACUUGUAGGGAAUGUUUGUUUGAACUUCACUCUGUUUUUGACGUGCUGUUUUUUGACAUGUUGCUUUUUGCACCGCGUGAAGUAGUUGAACUUCUGGGGCAUGUCUUCUUGAACUUCACUCUGUUUUCACUUUAUUGUAUUUUUCUUAUAUGAAAUACACACCAUGUAGCACGUGAACUUCCGGUUGUUAUCACUUUGAACCUCUCUUUGGUUUGAGAGAAUUAUUUUAAAACACAAAAAAACUAUUUUUAUGUAUUUUGGACAUCUAAAUACAUGGUGAACCUCUCUCACAAGAUUUUUUUUAACUUUUCCUCGCCGAGCACUUGAACUUCUAGCAACCAUUUUUUCGUUUAUGAGUUGUUUUUAAAAGUCCAAAAAAUGGCAUUGUGUUUUUAAUUUUUUGAACAUGUAAAUCCUAGGUUUUAAUAAACUCCAAACUUCUGUGUCAUUUCAAUUUGAACUUCACCUUUUUAUAUUUUGAUUAAAGAAUUGUAUUCGAUUUUUAUACGAAAAAAAUCGAGCAUGGAAAUACAAGGUGAACCUCUCUCGCAAGGAUUUUUGAACCUCCCCGGACAGAGCACUUGAACUUCUUUCAAGAAACAUUUUAUGCUUUUAUUUUUCUAUACUUUUAUUCUCACCUGAAAUGCAUUCCUCGCACUAGUUGAACUUCUCAUUGUUUUCACCUUGAACUUCUGUCACAUAUUUUUUGUUCAACCUCUCUCACAAGAAUUUUUGAACUUUCUUGGGCCGAGCACUUGAGCUUCUAGCAACAAAUUUUUUGUACUUUGCCUUUUUAUUCUUUCUUCUCUCAUACGAAAUGCACACCACAUAGUAAAUGAACUUCUGACAGUUAUCAAACCGAACUUCUCUCUAUUUCGUUUUCGUAACAGAAAAAGUCUGAGUUUUUUAUAUACAUCAAACCUCUCUAACUUUUUAUUUGAACUUCUUUGUGUAUUUUUUUAGAAAUGUGAAAAUUGGAGUUCUGUUAGAAACAUCGAACUUCUUCGUUAUUUUCAAUUGAACUUAUUGGUUUAUUUCUUUAGUAAUUGUAAACUCUGAAACUUCUGAAAUGGUUAAACAUACAAAACAAAAUUAUGGUUUUUUUCCAUUUUUCUAGAAGUCACUAUGUUACAUCUUGUGAAAUUUUUAUUUUUUUGUCGCGGCAUUCUAUUCAUUUUUUUGCUUUUGGUGAAAUGGCCUAGGCGGUCCCUUUUUCUCAUUCGAUAAAUUUCUUCUGUGUAUAGUACACGUGAACUUUAGAAUUUCCGAAACAUUAACUUAACGUGCUAUUGAAAAUCAAGAAAAUUAUGCACAACAAAACACAUACACUGCACGUGCUUCACACACAACCAACACAUACACUUCCUAGAAACGGAAAUAAUUUAAGACCAAAAAAACCUAGGACAACAACAACAGCUAAUCUAUCUCAGAAAUCUUUUUCCUCUCGCACUCAAGCUGAACUUCAGUAGCAGCACACCAACAACAGUUUGACGGUGCCUGAGAGGACGCCACCGACAGCAGCUAGCUGCUGGGAGAAGCUUUGUCACUGAGGGGGAAGAGGGAGGUCGGGAGGAACAGGACGGUGACCAGAGUUUUUCUAGAAACAAACACUGGAGGAGGCAGAGGGGCUGAGAGGCUCGGUGUUAGCAUUCUGUACAGGAGAUGGCAAAGGCGACCUGCUGGUGGUGGUGGCUGGCGACCCAGCAGCUCGGCAGCCCUCUGGCCGGAGGGCCGCGUGCAAGAUCUAUCAUCCAACCGCCUCUUUUCCUCUCUGCCGGAUGUGGCCACCAAGCAGCAAGUCAUGCCCUCAUCUUGCUGCAGGUCGAGCCCUCCUGGAGGUGCAGGUGGAUGGGCAGGUAGGCACGGUGGAUGGCGAGAGAGAGAGAGAGAGAGGAGCAUUCCACGAUGACGGUUGGCGCAGUCCGCAGCGACCACAACGCCCACGGAGGUCAUCCCUAUCCUAUAAGGACCGGGAUCUUGUCGGAUCCAUCUGUGCAGGCGGUCACGAGGGUGGCAGUUGCGGCGGCGUGUGCUGGAUGUGGCAGGCACGGCGAUGGGAGGGUUGGUGGAGAUGGUGAUGCGCGGGGUCCGAGGCAGCACCGACGAGCUGGGGUGUGAGGUGGUGGCGGCGUCGCGUGGGGUCAGGGGCGGCGUCGCGCGGGCUCUGUGGUGGCGGCGGCACGAGGGAUGAGGGGUGGUGGCGGCGGUGCGCGGGGUCAUUGUCGGUGGCGCGCGGGGUCAGCGGCGGNNNNNNNNNNNNNNNNNNNNNNNNNNNNNNNNNNNNNNNNNNNNNNNNNNNNNNNNNNNNNNNNNNNNNNNNNNNNNNNNNNNNNNNNNNNNNNNNNNNNNNNNNNNNNNNNNNNNNNNNNNNNNNNNNNNNNNNNNNNNNNNNNNNNNNNNNNNNNNNNNNNNNNNNNNNNNNNNNNNNNNNNNNNNNNNNNNNNNNNNNNNNNNNNNNNNNNNNNNNNNNNNNNNNNNNNNNNNNNNNNNNNNNNNNNNNNNNNNNNNNNNNNNNNNNNNNNNNNNNNNNNNNNNNNNNNNNNNNNNNNNNNNNNNNNNNNNNGUUGGUUGGGAUGUUUUUUUCUUCUGCGUGAUCUCAGGAACAGCUAAUCGGGCCCUUAUAGGGCGCGCCAUGAUCCAAAUAGCUAUUCUAAUCCUGGGAUUAGAAUAGUGCUACUAUAUAGCUUUUCAACGGUGUAUCGCAAUAAACACUAUUCUGAUCACGGGAUUAGAAUACAUACAUAAACACUAUUCUGAUCACGGGAUCAGAAUAAUAUUUUGAUCACAACCUAAACUGCUUGAGUAACGCGCCUGAACUUCCCUCUGUACGAACCCGACCUUCGGGCUAUCUUUGCAACCGCAGCUUCCCCUGCGAAUUAUUCUAGUUAGUCGUGUUCUAUAUGAUGUUAGUGUAAUCUAGAAACAUUUUAGCAACUAAAUACCAGUUUUAAAUAGGUAUCUCGCUCGUUGGCGGAUUUUGCUUUCGGGUCGUGAUAAAAUUGCGUUUUUUUCAAUUUUACUGCCUGAGUUGUUCGACCUGAACUUCCCCCAGUGUUAGGUUAAACUUCCGCCAACAUUGCCCAAAUGGGCUUGCGAUACACCGUUGGAAAGGUAUGGACACUAGUAUCAUGACCCAAGUUAAAUUCUUAUCAAAACGUAAGCGGUUUAAGAGCAGUUUUGAAAAUCGUUUUUUCUUCACAAAAAAAUGUGAAUCGUAUUUUCAAUCGCAUUUCAAAACCGUUUAUCGGAAUGAGGCAAAUAAUAUGGCAUUGGAAAGAUGCUGCAAAACCGCUCCUUCCACAUGUUGAAAGUUUUCUCUAGUUCCCUACGGUUAAAGAGUAAUUUGGAAAAUCGUAAAAUUUCACAAACCGAACAGCCGAGUUCGUAUUUUCGAUGUCAUUUCUAAACGGCUAAUCCAAUUGAGGCAAAUGAUAUGGCGUUGGAAAGCUUAUGAAAAUGCGCUACUUUUUCAUGUUGAAAGUUGUUUCUAAUUUUCAACGGUUUAAAAGUGAUUUAUAAAACAGUCCAAGUUGCACCGAGUUUGUAUUUUUGAGCUAAUUUUUUAACUGUACGUCCGAAUGUAGGAAAUGUUAUGGCGUUGGAAAGCUUGAGGAAAUACGAAACUUUUUGGUAUAUAUUGUUUCUCCCAAUUCCUUACUAUUUUAAUCAAUUUUGAAAAUGGCUAAAAACGUAUUUUCGCCUUAAUUUCUACAAACUUUAUCAGAAUUGAACAGAUAAUAUACCGUUGAAAAGCUAUGGAAAAUGCGAAACUUUUUCAUGUUGAUGGUUUUCUCUGAUUCCUAGCUAUUUUCAAGUAAUUUUGAAAACGGCGGGAUCAUUCGUUCCGCCUUUAUCGCGAAACAGAGUCUUCGAAAAUGCACCGCGUGAUGAACCUGAACUUCCCGGCAUGUCUACUUUAACUUCACUCUGUUUUUCACAUGCUUUUUUUGGUCGCAGCGCUCCAUCCACUACUCGUAGCUCUCGGUCCACUCCCAGAAUUGAGCAAGUGAUAUACUGAUGGAAAGCUGCUGUAAACACGCAAUUUUCCCGUGUUGAUCAUUUUUUCAUACUCAUGGCGGUUAUAAAAGUUUUUUCUCUAAAAUCCAAGCGUAGUAGUUGAACUUCGUGUUGUUUUCACGUUGAACUUCUAUGACGUAUUUUUUUUGUAAUUUUCUCAUUGAUUCGUCAGUGUUACACAAAUGAUAUUUCUUUUGUACAAACCUCUCUCACCAUAAUUUUUUGCACUUUCUCCGACCGAGGACUUGAACUUACACAAAUGAUAUUCAUUACUAUAGGGAAAAGUCCUAGUUAUGUAAUAAACAUCGAACGACUCACUUCUUUAAACUUUAACUUCCAGAUCUUAAAAUAACAGUGGCAAAUCCAUGUUUACAAACUUUUUAAACUGAUCGUUUUUCUAAUUUGACCCUCCUGGUUUUUUAUAAACAUUUUGAACUUCUAUGUUUUUUAAAUUGGAACUUCUCCAAUUUUUUUAAUAAAAUGUAGAAACACCUUUUUUUAUAAACUUUUUGAACUGCUCCAUUUUUAGUUUUUGAACUUCUUGGUUUAUUCUGUAGUGACGGCGAAAAUUACAGGUUUGUAAUAAACAUUGAACCGCCGUAUUAUAUAAAUUUGAACUUCAAGUUACUUUUUAGAAAUGGUUAAACUUACAAAACAAAAUUAUGUUUUCCACCAUUUCUAUGAACUUACUAUGUUAUAUCUUUUGCAGUUUUAUUUUUUCAAUUUGACAUUCUUGAUAUUGUAAUAAACAUGGAACUUCCCCAUUAUUUAAAUUAGAACCUCUAGGUUUUUUUGUAGAACGGGGAUAUUCCAUUUCCUCUAUAAAUUUUGAGCUGCUCUAUUUUUUUAAUUUGGCCUUCUUGGGUUAUUAUUUAGUAACGGAAAAAAUCCUAAUGUAAUAAUAAGCAUUGAACCGCUCUGCUAUUUGUAUUUGAACUUCUAGUAUUUUACGAGAAAAUCACCAUUUUAGGUUUUAUUUUUCUUUUAGUAAUGAAAAAAAUCGCAAUAAUUUUUCGUAAACAUCGAACUUCCUUCUCUUCUCUGUUCUUUUUUCGUUGUACAUGAGAAAAUAUAUUUUUUCUCAUUUUUGUGUACUAAGCACACACACGCACAUCACAUCCACAAUUUUUUGGUAGUCAAAUGAAAAAGGUUACACUCCCACAAGCAUAAACAAACGAACUUCCCUGAAUUUUUUAGCAUAAUACAUGAACUUCUCUGGUACAAAAUUGUUUUGUCUCUGAUACUAGUGGGUGGAGCCUCACAAGUGGCGGUGCUGGUUGUCGGACAGGCGAGAGGAAGAAUGGUGAUGCUGGGGAAGGUCUGAUUUAGUCAUUGCUGUAGUCCACGCACCACAACAUGGACUUCUUGGUUUUUAUUACUUUUUGUAGUAACGAAAAAAAUCUUAGUUUUAUUUUAAUAACCUUCAAACCGUUGUGUUUUUACGCCUCGGGGACGACCAUGCAAACAUCAGGAAUUAGGAAGAUCUAUUUUUCAGUACAUCUUCUCAAAAAUGCACAUUUUUACUCUAUGCGAACUUCAAGUUUUUUUAUACAUGAAUUUCAUUAUGAAUUUUCAUUUUAUUUCUGCACGUGAAUUUCAUACUUGGACUUUUUAUCAUGUUACAAUUUUUUGAACUUUUUUUCUUAUAUUUGAACUUCUUUCUCUUUCUCUUAUAUACAAAAAAAGAAAGUAAAACCACCCGUUCUUUUCCUAUGAACUUGCCGAGCUAAAAAAAUUAAACUCAUUCUAGAUUUAAAAAAUCAACUUCUAAAUUUUUGUUUCAUGAAUUCCUUGGUAUUAAUACAUGAACUUUUCAAUAGGACAAUUUCUAAGUUGCAAAACAUGCACAAAAAGAGAAGAAGGAAAGAUGUAAAAUGAGUGUGCAAAAGCUAUAGAAAUUUGGGGAUAAUUUGAGCAUAAGAAUCAGCAGCAAAAAGACAGUGGCAGACUUACAUUUCUCCACCACACAUUCUCAAAUGACCUGGCCACACAGUAACUACAUGCACCCAAUCCUUUUUACAUAAAAAUGCACUAACUAGUGGCAGACUUACAUUUCUCCACCACACAUUCCCUUCGUAUCUUGUCUCACGUUAUCCACAAAGUGUUGAUGCGUUAUCUUCUUCGUGCUUUUGUUCUUAUUACCUGUACUCUGAAACAAGCAACAUCUUGAUUCAGAAAGCAACCGUAAUGGUGGCCAAUUUUCUGGAGAAGCUUCCAUGCAUUCUUCUUUUUGCAGUUGGACUUGCCCAUCAGGAGAAGCUAACCUGCAAUGGUGGCCAAUUUUCUGGAGGGAUUCUGGAGUUGGCCAGCGGGGCAGCCCGGGGUGUUAGAGGCAAGGGCACGUCUAGGUAGCCAAGAGUACGACCGCCAACAACGUGCAGGGUCUACAACAAGGCCAUGGGCGCUGUCUUCCACGGGAUGUAGGUAGCGACAAGCAGAGCGGCGUCUCCGCCAGGAACAAUUUUGGAUGUAGGGUCACGCACAACUCACCACCAUGGUUGCUGGAGAAGUCGCGGCGAGCUAAGGGGCUGCAGCACACGAGGUACGAAUAUACAUGAGAUAUCUUUUUAACAUGUACAGUACAUGGAGAUCCCAGUAUACAUAAAUAUUUUUAGGCAAAUGGCAACUAGCGACAUGUGGAAACAGAAAGAAAGUCCCAGCUGAAUGCUUGCCACCCGUGGUAGGUAAUAAACUAAAACUUUGAACGAAAAAUGUUAAGAGGGAAUUGGUCUCAGAAGAAGUCUCCCUUCACUAGAUUCAGUAGAAGUUGAAUUGGAUGGUGGGCAGCAGGAUCUAGGCUGAUGUGUUCAUGGAUGGCCAGCGGCUCUGUCGUUGAACGGCCCGUGGCUGUGUAGUUCAAAGGCUCGGGUUGCUUUGGGAGGACGCAGGGCGCCCUGCAGAUCGGAUCAAGGUGAGGGUGCUCUCCACUACCUAGAAGAAAAGGCUCUGAAGGACAAAACACACACACACAAGAACAACUGCACAUUAGGAUUUCUAAAUGGUCCUCUGUUUGUAGACAUAAAGUAUGAACACAUGCAUUAGCAUGUACAUCUCAGUUCCUCACAUUAUACAUGGUUAAUUCUUUUUUAACAGCAUAUGAAAUGAAUUGUCAAAUCGAUACUCAGAAAUGGGCUCCCUUUUAUGAAGAUCAAUACAGACCCAAUCGUCCAUGGUUCUUCUUUUAACAUACUAAGAUGAACAGCAGAGAACCAGCAAAACUGAAUUUGCAAACAAUAUUGUAGAAGCAACAAAGUUUCCUGUAGCUUUGAACGAGUAGAGCUGAUUUGGAAGAAGUGGUGCAGGGGUUGAAGCAAGAGAUGAUGGGAAGGUCAAUCAAAGGAGCUGCAGAAGGUCACACAUGAAGGAUGCCAAGGCAGCAUGUGCAGAGUUGAGUGAAGGAGCAUGGUGUGUUUGCAUAGAGGGCAUGCCGAUUGGGUAAUGCCCCUGGGCGGCGGCUUCGGGGAGCAAGGGCGUUGGUGCAGGGGGCUGGCGGAUAAUGGGAGCAGGGCAGCAGACCCCGGGAGGAGCCAAUGGUUUGGCAGGUCAAUCUCAUUUUCUCCAGCAGGAUCCUCACGCGGGGGCGGCGAGUGGCUCUGGCGUGCUGCAGGAGAUGCUAGGAGGAUCCCUCGAACUUCCUCCGGAAUCAGCCUCGAACUUCUACCGACAAAGCGCCAGCGGUGCUAUGGGAGGAGGUCGACGUCGGCGUCGCAGUAGAAGGCUUGCGGCGGCGUCACGCUAGGUGGGGUAGGCGGCCUGUGUUGAUUCCCGGUUGGGGGUUUCCAGGGGAAGCGGUGCACGGGGUUGGAGGGGUGGCGGCGCCUGCGGUCAGGGGAGGCGGCACCUGGGUUGGGGGCGACGGCCCCUGGGGUUGAGGGCGGCGGCGAUUGGGUGGUCCCCGGUGAUGGGUGGGUCGGUGGUUUCUUGGGUGGCGGCGGGGAUCCAGGGGAGAGAGGUGCGGGAGGUGGGGAACAGUGGUUGGUGCUUUUUUUGCAUCUUUGGGAUUUGAGGAACACCGUGUCGCUCCCUAUAUAGGGCCCCAUGAUCCAAAUAGUUAUUCUAAUCCUGGGAUUAGAAUAGUGCCACUAUAUAUAUAUACACACACAUACAUACAUACAUACAUACAUAUUUUAGAGUGUUGAUUCACUCAUUUUGCUUCGUAUGUAGUUCACAUUGGAAUCUCUAAAAGACUUAUAUUACGGAACAGAGGGAAUACAUCAUCAAAUUAUGCUUCGAGUAAAAUUUACAUCAUAAAAAAACCUUUUUAUAUCACCAAAAACAUUCAACUCAAACAGAUAAUGUAAAAAUAGGUGUUGCAGCGAAUCAACCUUUGGUCGGAUUGUUAGAGGGACAGUGAUAUCCCCAGCCCACCAGGGUUCAAGUCCUGGUGCUUGCAUUAUUCCUGGAUUUAUUUCAGGAUUUCCAAUGAUGCGCUUUCAAUGUGAGGAGAUGUUCCCAUCGACAACGAGGCUCCUAUGGUGACUUUAUAAAUCUCAAGAUGAUAUACCGAUUCAGUCUCUCGAAGGUGCUCAUAGAGGUAGAUGUGCGUGUGUGCAUUCAUGGGGUGAGUGUAUGCACGUAUGUAUGAGCGCUUGCGUCUGUAUUGUCUUAAAAAGUAAGGUGUUGCAAUGCAUCACGGUUGUCUUUUUAUGGGUGCCAUAUUUUACACCAUCUAUUGGAUCACCUGAUGGAAAAAUAGCAGUUGGCGAUGCAUAUUUUGCUCUAAUAGUGUGGUCCCUGUUGGGGAACGUGGUAUUUCAAAAUUUUCCUAUGCACAUGCAAGAUCCCUCCAGGCGAUGCAUAGCAAAGAGCGGGAAAGAGUAUGUCUACGUACCCUUGUAGACCGAAAGCGGAAGCGUUAUGAAACACAGUUGAUGUAGUCGAACGUCUUCGCGAUCCAACCGAUCAAGUACCGAACGCACGGCACCUCCGCGAUCUGCACACGUUCAGCUCGGUGACGUCCCUCGUACUCUUGAUCCAGCUAAGGCCGAGGGAGAGUUUCGUCAGCACGAUGGCGUGAUGACGGUGAUCAUGAAGUUACCGAUGCAGGGCUUCGCCUAAGCACUACAACGAUAUGACCGAGGUGGAAAUCUAUGGAGCGGGGCACCACACACGGCUAAGACAACUAUCAACUUGUGUGUCUAUGGGGUGCCCCCUCCCCCAUAUAUAAAGAAGGGGAGGAGGGGAGGGCCGACCCUCUCUAUGGCGCACCCAAGGGGGAGUCCUACUCCCAGAAGGAGUAGGUUCCCCCCUUCCCUAGUUGGAGUAGGAGAAGAAGGAAGAGGGAGAAAGAGGGAAGGAAAGGGGGGGGGGGGGCAACCCCCACCCAAUUCGGAUUGGGCUUGGGGGGCGCGCGCCCUCCACCUGGCCUCCUCCUCCUCCCUCCCACUAAGGCCCAAUAAGGCCCAUUGACUCCCCGGGGUGUUCCGGUAACCCCCCGGUACUCCGGUAAAUGCCCGAACUCAUCCGGAAUCAUUCUGAUGUCCAAACAUAGCCUUCCAAUAUAUCGAUCUUUAUGUAUCGACCAUUUUGAGACUCCUCGUCAUGUCCGUGAUCACAUCCGGGACUCCGAACUACCUUCGGUACAUCAAAACACAUAAACUCAUAAUAGCAAUCGUCAUCGAACAUUAAGCGUGUGGACCCUACGGGUUCGAGAAAUAUGUAGACAUGACCGAGACUCACUUCCGGUCAAUAACCAAUAGCAGAACCUGGAUGCUCAUAUUGGUUCCUACAUAUCCUAUGAAGAUCUUUAUCGGUCAAACCGCAUAACAACAUACGUUGUUCCCUUUGUCAUUGGUAUGUUACUUGCCCAAGAUUCGAUCAUCGGUAUCUCAAUACCUAGUUCAAUCUCGUUACCGGCAAGCCUCUUUACUCGUUUUGUAAUGCAACAUCCCGCAACUAACUCAUUAGUCACAUUGCUUGCAAGGCUUAUAGUGAUGUGCAUUACCGAGAGGGCCCAGAGACACCUCAACAAUCGGAGUGACAAAUCCUAAUCUCGAUCUAUGCCAACUCACCAAACACCAUCGGAGACACUUGUAGAGCAUCUUUAUAGUCACCCAGUUACAUUGUGAUGUUUGAUAGCACAAUAAGUGUUCCUCCGGUAUUCAGGAGUUGCAUAAUCUCAUAGUCAUAUGAACAUAUAUAAGUCAUGGAGAAAGCAAUAGCAAUAAACUAAAUGAUCAUAGUGCUGAGCUAACGCAUGGGUCAAGUCAAUCACAUCAUUCUCUAAUGAUGUGAUCCCGUUCAUCAAAUGACGACUCAUGUCUAUGGUUAGGAAACUUAACCAUCUUUGAUUAACGAGCUAGUCAAGUAGAGGCAUACUAGUGACACUCUGUUUGUCUAUGUAUUCACACAUGUGCUAAGUUUCCGGUUAAUACAAUUCUAGCAUGAAUAAUAAACAUUUAUCAUGAUAUAAGGAAAUAUAAAUAACAACUUUAUUAUUGCUUCUAGGGCAUAUUUCCUUCAGUCUCCCACUUGCACUAGAGUCAAGAAUCUAGAUUACACAAUAAUGAUUCUAACACCCAUGGAGUCUUGGUGUUGAUCAUGUUUUGCUCGUGAGAGAGGCUUAGUCAACGGGUCUGCAACAUUCAGAUCCGUAUGUAUCUUGCAAAUCUCUAUGUCUCCCUCCUUGACUUGAUCGCGGAUGGAAUUGAAGCGUCUCUUGAUGUGCUUGGUUCUUUUGUGAAAUCUGGAUUCCUUUGCCAAGGCAAUUGCACCAGUAUUGUCACAAAAUAUUUUCAUUGGACCCGAUGCACUAGGUAUGACACCUAGAUCGGAUAUGAACUCCUUCAUCCAGACUUCUUCGUUUGCUGCUUCCGAAGCAGCUAUCUACUCCGCUUCACACGUAGAUCCCGCCACGACGCUUUGCUUAGAACUGCACCAACUGACAGCUCCACCUUUCAAUAAAAACAUGUAUCCGGUUUGUGACUUCGAGUCAUCCGGAUCAGUGUCAAAGCUUGCAUCGACGUAAUCGUUUACGACGAGCUCUUUGUUACCUCCAUAUACGAGAAACAUAUCCUUAGUCCUUUUCAAGUAUUUUAGUAUGUUCUUGACCGCUGUCCAGUGAUCCACUCCUAGAUUACUUUGGUACCUCCUUGCUAAAAUUAUAGCAAGGCACACAUCAGGUCUGGUACAUAGCAUUUCAUACAUGAUAGAGCCUAUGGCUGAAGCAUAGGGAACAUCUUUCAUUUUCUCUCUAUCUUCUGCACUGGUCGGGCAUUGAGUCUGACUCAACUUCACACCUUGUAACACAUGCAAGAACCCUUUCUUUGCUUGAUCCAUUUUGAACUUCUUCAAAACUUUAUCAAGGUAUGUGCUUUGUGAAAGUCCAAUUAAGCGUCUUGAUGUAUCUCUAUAGAUCUUGAUGCCCAAUAUAUAGGCAGCUUCACCGAGGUCUUUCAUUGAAAAAUUCUUAUUCAAGUAUCCUUUUAUGCUAUUUAGAAAUUCAGUAUCAUUUCUGAUCAGCAAUAUGUCAUCCACAUAUAAUAUCAGAAAUGCUACAGAGCUCCCACUCACUUUCUUGUAAAUAUAGGCUUCUCCAAAAGUCUGUAUAAAACCAUAUGCUUUGAUCAAACUAUCAAAGCGUAUAUUCCAACUCCGAGAGGCUUGCCCCAGUCCAUAAAUGGAUUGCUAGAGCUUGCACACUUUGUUAGCACCUUUUGGAUCGACAAAACCUUCCAGUUGCAUCAUAUACAACUCUUUAAGAUAUCCAUUAAGGAAUGCAGUUUUGACAUCCAUUUGCCAAAUUUCUUAAUCAUAAAAUGCGACAAUUGCUAACAUGAUUUGAACGGACUUAAGCAUCGCUACGAGUGAGAAGGUCUCAUCGUAGUCAACUCCUUGAACUUGUCGAAAACCUUUCGCAACAAGUCAAGCUUUGUAGACAGUAAUAUUACCAUCAGCGUUAGUCUUCUUCUUAAAGAUCCUUUUAUUCUCUAUGGCUUGCCGAUCAUCGGGCAACUCAACCAAAGUCCACACUUUGUUCUCAUACAUGGAUCCCGUCUCAGAUUUCAUGGCCUCAAGCCAUUUUGCGGAAUUUGGGCUCAUCAUCGCUUCCUCAUAGUUCGUAGGUUCGUCAUGGUCAAGUAACAUGACUUCCAGAACAGGAUUACCGUACCACUCUAGUGUGGAUCUUACUCUAUUUGACCUACAAGGUUCGGUAGUAACUUGAUCAGAAGUUUCAUGAUCAUCAUCAUUAGCUUCCUCACUUACUGGUGUAGGAAUCACUGGAACUGAUUUAUGUGAUAAACUACUUUCCAAUAAGGGAGCAGGUACAGUUACCUCAUCAAGUUCUACUUUCCUCCCACUCACUUCUUUCGAGAGAAACUCCUUCUCUUGAAAGGAUCCAUUCUUAGCAAUGAAUAUCCUGCCUUCGGAUCUGUGAUAGAAGGUAUACCCAACAGUCUCUUUUGGGUAUCCUAUGAAGACACAUUUCUCCGAUUUGGGUUCGAGCUUAUCAGGUUGAAGCUUUUUCACAUAAGCAUCGCAACCCCAAACUUUAAGAAACGACAACUUGGGUUUCUUGCCAAACCACAGUUCAUAAGGUGUCAUCUCAACGGAUUUUGAUGGUGCCCUAUUUAACGUGAAUGCAGCCGUAUCUAAAUCAUAACCCCAAAACGAUAGCGGUAAAUUAGUAAGAGACAUCAUAGAUCGCACCAUAUCUAAUAAAGUGCGGCUACGUCGUUUGGACACACCAUUACGCUGUGGUGUUCCAGGUGGCGUGAGUUGCAAAACUAUUCUGUAUUGUUUCAUAUGAAGACCAAACUCGUAACUCAAAUAUUCUCCUCCACGACUUAAUUUUCUUGUUAUGAUGAUUUUCCACUUCACUCUGAAAUUCUUUGAACUUUGCAAAUGUUUCAGACUUAUGUUUCAUCAAGUAGAUAUACCCAUAUCUGCUCAAAUCAUCUGUGAAGGUCAGAAAAUAACGAUACCCGCCACGAGCAUCAACACUCAUCGGACAGCAUACAUCGGUAUGUAUAAUUUCCAAUAAGUCUGUUGCUCGUUCCAUUGUUCUGGAGAACGGAGUCUUAGUCAUCUUGCCCAUGAGGUAUGGUUCACAAGCAUCAAGUGCUUCAUAAUCAAGUGAUUCCAAAAGCCCAUCAGCAUGGAGUUUUUUCAUGCGCUUUACACUAAUAUGACCUAAACGGCAGUUCCACAAAUAAGUUGCACUAUCAUUAUUAAACUUAUAUCUUCUGGCUUCAAUACUAUGAAUAUGUGUAUCACUACUAUCAAGAUUUAGUAAAAAUAGACCACUCAUCAAGGGUGCAUGACCAUAAAAGAUAUUACUCAUAUAAAUAGAACAACCAUUAUUCUCUGAUUUAAAUGAAUAGCCGUCUCACAUCAAACAAGAUCCAGAUAUAAUGAUCAUGCUCAAUGCUGGCACCAAAUAACAAUUAUUUAGGUCUAAAACUAAUCACGAAGUUAGAUGUAGAGGUAGCGUGCCGACGGCGAUCACAUCGACUUUGGAACAAUUUCCCACGCGCAUCGUCACCUCGUCCUUAGCCAAUCUUCGCUUAAUCUGUAGCCCCUGUUUCGAGUUGCAAAUGUUAGCAACUGAACCAGUAUCAAUUACCCAGUCACUACUGCGAGCAUUAGUAAGGUACACAUCAAUAAAAUGUAUAUCAAAUAUACCUUUCACUUUGCCAUCCUUCUUUUCUGCCAAAUACUUGGGGAAGUUCUGCUUCGAGUGACCAGUCCCUUUGCAGUAGAAGCACUCAGUCUCAGGCUUAGGUCCAAACUUGGGCUUCUUCACUUGAGCAGCAACUUGCUUGUCGAUCUUCUUGAAGUUCCCCUUCUUUCCUUUACACCUUUUCUUGAAACUAGUGGUCUUGUUGACCAUCAACACUUGAUGCUCCUUCUUGAUUUCUACCUCCGCAACCUUUAGCAUUGCGAAGAGCUCGGGAAUCAUCUUAUCCAUCCCUUGCAUAUUAUAGUUCAUCACGAAGCUUUUGUAGCUUGGUGGCAGUGAUUGAAGAACUCUGUCAAUGACACUAUCAACUGGAAGAUUAACUCCCAGCUGAGUCAAGUGAUUCUGGUACCCAGACAUUUUGAGUAUAUGUUCACUGACAGAACUAUUCUCCUCCAUUUUGCAACUGUAGAACUUAUUGGAGACUUCAUAUCUCUCAAUCCUGGCAUUUGCUUGAAAUAUUAACUUCAACUCCUGGAACAUCUCAUAUGCUCCAUGACGUUCAAAACGUUGUUGAAGUCCCGGUUCUAAGCCGUAAAGCAUGGCACACUGAACUAUCGAGUAGUCAUCAGCUUUGCUCUGCCAGGUGUUCAUAACAUCUGGCGUUGCACCUGCAGCAGGUUUGGCACCUAGCGGUGCUUCCAGGACGUAAUUCUUCUGUGCAGCAAUGAGGAUAAUCCUCAAGUUACGAACCCAGUCCGUGUAAUUGCUACCAUCAUCUUUCAACUUAGCUUUCUCUAGAAACGCAUUAAAAUUCAAUGGAACAACAACACAGGCCAUUUAUCUACAACAACAUAGACAUGCAAAAUACUAUCAGGUACUAAGUUCAUGAUAAAUUAAAGUUUAAUUAAUCAUAUUACUUAAGAACUCCCACUUAGAUAGACAUCCCUCUAAUCAUCUAAGUGAUCACGUGAUCCAUAUCAACUAAACCAUGUCCGAUCAUCACGUGAGAUGGAGUAGUUUUCAAUGGUGAACAUCACUAUGUUGAUCAUAUCUACUAUAUGAUUCACGCUCGACCUUCCAGUCUCAGUGUUCCGAGGCCAUAUCUGCAUAUGCUAGGCUCCUGAAGUUUAACCCGAGUAUUCUGUUUGUGCAAAACUAGCUUGCACCCGUUGUAUGUGAACACAGAGCUUAUCAACACCCGAUCAUCAUGUGGUGUCUCGGGACGAUGAACUGUAGCAACGGUGCAUACUCAGGGAGAACACAUAUACCUUGAAAUUUUGUGAGAGAUCAUCUUAUAAUGCUACUGCCGUACUAAGCAAAAUAAGAUGCAUAAAGGAUAAACAUCACAUGCAAUCAAUAUAAUUGAUAUGAUAUGGCCAUCAUCAUCUUGUGCCUUUGAUCUCCAUCUCCAAAGCACCGUUAAGAUCACCAUCAUCACCGGCUUGACACCUUGAUCUCCAUCGUAGCAUCAUUGUCAUCUCGCCAACUAUUGCUUCUACGACUAUCGCUACCGCAUAGUGAUAAAGUAAAACAAUUACAUGGCAAUUGCAUUUCAUACAAUAAAGCGACAACCAUAUGGCUCCUGCCAGUUGCCGAUAACUGUGUUACAAAACAUGAUUAUCUCAUACAACAAUUCAUAUAAUCACGUCUUGACCAUAUCACAUCACAACAUGCCCUGCAAAAACAAGUUAGACGUCCUCUACUUUGUUGUUGCAACUUUUACAUGGCUGCUACGGGCUUAGCAAGAACCGUUCUUACCUACGCAUUAAAAACCACAACACGGUAUAGUGAUUGCUUUUGAUCUUCAGAAAGAACCCUGUUCAUUGAAUCAGAUUCAACUAAAGUUGGAGAAAUAGACACCCACUAGCCACCUGUGUGCGAAGCACGUCAGUAGAAACACAUAAUGUCGGUCUGAGCCGCUUCAUCGAACAAUACCGCUGAAUCAAGAAUCAACUAGUGACAGCAAGCAAUAUGUAUAUACCAACGCCCACAACUCCUUUGUGUUCUACUCAUGCAUAUAACAUCUACGCAUAGACCUGGCUCUGAUGCCACUAUUGGGGAACGUAGUAUUUCAAAAUUUUCCUAUGCACAUGCAAGAUCCAUCUAGGUGAUGCAUAGCAACGAGCGGGGAAGAGUAUGUCUAUGUACCCUUGUAGACCGAAAGCAGAAGCAUUAUGAAACGCGGUUGAUGUAGUCGAACGUCUUCGCGAUCCAACUGGUCAAGUACAGUACGCACAACACCUCCACGAUCUGCACACGUUCAGCUCGCUGACGUCCCUCGUACUCUUGAUCCAGCUGAGGCCGAGGGAGAGUUUCGUCAGCAUGAUGGCGUGAUGAUGGUGAUGAUGAAGUUAUCGACGCAUGGCUUCGCCUAAGCACUACAACGAUAUGACCGAGGUGGAAAUCUGUGGAGGGGGGCACCGCACACGGCUAAUACAACUAUCAACUUGUGUGUCUAUGGGGUGCCCCCUCCCCCUUAUAUAAAGGAGUGGAGGAGGGGAGGGCCGGCCCUCUUUAUGGCGCGCCCAAGGGGGAGUCCUACUCCCAGAAGGAGUAGGUUUCCUCCCUUCCCUAGUUGGAGUAGGAGUAGAAGGAAGAGGGAGAAAGAGGGAAGGAAAGGGGGGCACCCAAUUUGGAUUAGGCUUGGGAGGGGGUCGCCCUCCACCUGGCCGCCUCCUCCUCUCUCCCACCAAGGCCCAAUAAGGCCCAUUGACUCCUCGGGGGGUUCCAGUAACCCCCCCGGUACUCCGGUAAAUGCCUGAACUCAUUCGGAACCAUUCCGAUGUCCAAACAUAGCCUUCCAAUAUAUCGUUCUUUAUGUCUCAACCAUUUUGAGACUCCUCGUCAUGUCCGUGAUCACAUAUGGGACUCCGAACUACCUUCGGUACAUCAAAACACAUAAACUCAUAAUACCGAUCGUCAUCGAAUGUUAAGUGUGCGGACCCUACGGGUUCAAGAAUUAUGUAGACAUGACCGAGAAUCACUUUCGGUCAAUAACCAAUACCGGAACCUGGAUGCUCAUAUUGGUUCCUACAUAUCCUACGAAGAUCUUUAUCGGUUAAACCGCAUAACAACAUACAUUGUUCCCUUUGUCAUUGGUAUGUUACUUGCUCGAGUUUUGAUCGUUGGUAUCUCAAUACCUAGUUCAAUCUCGUUACCGGCAAGUCUCUUUACUCACUCUGUAAUGCAACAUCCUGCAACUAACUCAUUAGUCACAUUUCUUGCAAGGCUUAUAGUGAUGUGCAUUACCGAGAGGGACCAGAGAUACCUCUCCGAUAAUCGGAGUGACAAAUCCUAAUCUCGAUCUAUGGCAACUCAACAAACACCAUCGGAGACACCUGUAGAGCAUCUUUAUAGUCACCCAAUUACGUUGUGAUGUUUGAUAGCACACUAAGUGUUCCUCCGGUAUUCGGGAGUUGCAUAAUCUCAUAGUCAUAGGAACAUGUAUAAGUCAUGGAUAAAGCAAUAGCAAUAAACUAAACGAUCAUAGUGCUAAGAUAACGGAUGGGUCAAGUCAAUCACAUCAUUCUUUAAUGAUGUGAUCCCGUUCAUCAAAUGACAACUCAUGUCUAUGGUUAGGAAACUUAACCAUCUUUGAUUAACGAGCUAGUCAAGUAGAGGCAUACUAGUGACACUCUGUUUGUCUAUGUAUUCACACAUGUACUAAGUUUCCAGUUAAUACAAUUCUAGCAUGAAUAAUAAACAUUUAUCAUGAUAUACGGAAAUAUAAAUAACAACUUUAUUAUUGCCUCUAGGGAUAUUUCCUUCAGUCCCCUGGUGAUGUAAAAUUUUCUCAAGAGCAUCAAGUGACGUAAAUUUUCAUUACUUGGUGGCCUAUUUUACAUCAGCCCUAUUCCCGAGCAAAAAUAUUUGCAUUACGUUAUCUAUUGGAGCAACGAUUUUGCCCUCUCUUGUAGAGAUGCCUUGGAAGCAUAAUUAUGUGCGUGUAUGAAGGGGUUAUCAUCUGCCUUAAUGAGACCAAGCUUCUUGUCAAAGUGGAGGUGGAUUCACUUGAAUUGAUCAAGCAGGUGCAAUCCAUCGACAACAAUAGAUCAAUUUAUGCUUAUCUAUUCAAAGAGAUUAAGCAUAUAAUGAGCAUCCGUGAGAGUAGUAUUACCCAUAUUAUUAGACCCGAGAAUAAAGUUAGUAGUUGUUUAGCUAUUUUCACUAGAGAGGAAGGGAGAACUAUGACGUGUUUAGGCUUUGGUCCUCCUAGAGCUUUGGAACUUGCAUCUUCUGAUUGUAAUCCUGCCGGGGGUUGAGUAAUACAAGUUUCAGUUCAUGAAAGAAAAUGUUUUUCCCUCUCAUGAUGUAAAAAGUGGUCCCAACCUAUUUUACACCAUCUCCUUCCUUUGGCUCGUCUCCUUCCUUUCCUUACUUUGUUCUAUACCUAGUGUUCGCUAGGUGCGUUCUCCUCUUUAAUCAUUUGGUUAUUUUUCUACUCUCCUUUUCCUAAUGGGUUGAUGAAAUUUGGCUGCUCCUGUCGACAUUCAAAAAUAAGUUCCACAAUCUUACCCGCGAGAGGUGGUAUGUGGGCUAUGUAGUUGAUCACAAUUCAAGAUAUGCAGUAAUGGCCAGCCCACAUUACAUCGACAUGCAUGGUUAGCAGUUGUUCUCACUGGCCAUUGUUGUUUAGGUCAUCUCUAGUACUUCCCUGAGCUUAACUUUCUAAACGAGCGCUCAAACCAUAACUUCUCAAAUUCGAGGAGUUAAAAACUAUGCACCUAACACUCAACUUCCUUUUUUGUGGCUAAUUCUUGCAUCCUUUUGCAUAUUACUCCAUUUGUACUACAUUUACACAUAUUCAUUUGGAACUUCAUAUUUCCAAAGCAGCAAUUUCAACAACAUCUGCAUUCAAUGUUUUCAAAUGUAAAUAUUCAAAUUUCAACACACCAUAUGGUCCAAAUGAAGUAACGAUCAAAAUACAAAAAAUGAUAAAAGCACACGAAUCAAGUGCUAUGAUGUGCCCACAAGUGCACCAAGAUCAUCCUAGACUUGGUACUGAGCUUUUCGGUUCUCAAUCUUACUACGCGUUGCAAGGAAUCUUUGUAUCCUAUUUGCUUGAUGUUGCAGCUGGACAAGUUCCUGAAGGAAAUAUGCCCUAGAGGCAAUAAUAAAGUUGUUAUUUUAUAUUUCCUUAUAUCAUGAUAAAUGCUUAUUAUUCAUGCUAGAAUUGUAUUAACCGGAAACUUGAUACAUGUGUGGAUACAUAGACAAAACACCGUGUCCCUAGUAAGCCUCUACUAGACUAGCUCGUUAAUCAAAGAUGGUUAAGUUUCCUAACCAUAGACAUGUGUUGUCAUUUGAUGAAUGGGAUCACAUCAUUAGGAGAAUGAUGUGAUGGACAAGACCCAUCCGUUAGCUUAGCAUAUUAAUCAUUCAGUUUUAUUGCUAUUGCUUUCUUCAUGUCAAAUAUAUAUUCUUUCGAUUGUGAGAUUAUGCAACUCCUGGAUACCGGAGGAAUGCCUUGUGUGCUAUCAAACGUCACAACAUAACUGGGUGAUUAUAAAGAUGCUCUACAAGUAUCUCCGAAGGUGUUUGUUGGGUUGGCAUAGAUCGAGAUUAGGAUUUGUCACUCCGAGUAUCGGAGAGGUAUCUCUGGUCCCUCUCGGUAAUGCACAUCAUAAGACGCCUUGCAAGCAAAGUGACUAAUGAGUUAGUUGCGGGAUGAUGUAUUACGAAACAAGUAAAGAGACUUGCCAGUAACGAGAUUGAACUAGGUAUGAAGAUACCGACAAUAGAAUCUCGGGCAAGUAACAUACCGAUGCACAAAGGGAAUAACGUAUGUUGUCAUAAGGGUUCUACUGAUAAACAUAUUUGUAGAAUAUGUACGAGCCAAUAUGAUCAUCCAAGUUCCUUUGUUGGUUAUUGACCGGAGAGGUGUCUCGGUCAUGUCUACAUAGUUCUCGAACCCAUAGGGUCCGCACGCUUAACGUUCGAUGAUGAUUUUGGAUUAUAUGAGUUAUGUGAUUUGGUGAUUGAAUGUUGUUCGGGGCCCCAGAUGAGAUCAUGGACAUGACGAGGAGUCUCGAAAUGGUUGAGAAGUAAAGAUUGAUAUAUAAGACAAUAGUAUUAAGACACUAGAAGUGUUCCGGAGGGUAUCAUGUACAUAUCGGGUCACCAGAAGGGGUUCUGGGUACCCCCCGGCAAAGAUAUGGGCCUUACGGGCCAAGAGAGGGACAGACCAGCCCACAAAGGGCUUGUGCACCCCCAUAUAGGCCGAAAUAGGAGGAGAAGGAAAGAGGGGAAGGGAGAAGGAAAGGGAAGGAUUCGGCCUCCCCCUUCCUUCCCUCCCCCUCUCUUUCCUUUCCCCUCCGGUUAAUACGAAAGGGGUGCCGAAUUGGAGAGGAACCCCAAGUAGGAUUCGGUCUACUUGGGGCACCCCUUGGCUGCUCCCUCUCCCUCCCACCUAUAUAUAUGAGGGAAGGGAGGUGCCUACAAUACACAACAACAUCUAUUAGCCGUGUGCGGUGCCCCCUCCACAUAUUACACCCUCGGUCAUAUUCUCGCGGUGCUUAGGCGGAGCCCUGCGCGGACCACUUCACGAUCAUCGUCACCACGCCGUCGUGCUGACGGAACUCAUCUACUUCCUCAACACUCUGCUGGAUCAAGGGUUCGAGGGACGUCAUCGAGCUGAACGUGUGCAGAACUCGGAGGUGUCGUACGUUCGGUGCUUGAUCGGUCGAAACAAGAAGAAGUUCGACUACAUCAACCGCGUUGUCAAACGCUUCCGCUUUCAGUCUACGAGGGUAUGUAGACACACUCUCCCCCUCCUGUUGUUAUGCAUCUCCUAUAUAGAUCAUGCGUGAGCGUAUGAUUUUUUUUGAAAUUGCAUGCUACAUUUCCCGAUAGUGGCAGGUCUAUGCAUAGAUGAUAUGCACGAGUAGAACACAAAGAGUUGUGGGCGGUGAUCGUCAUACUACUUACCACCAAUGUCUUAUUUUGAUUUAGCGGUAUUGUUGGAUGAAGCGGCCCAGACCAACCUUACAUGACCACGUUCAUGAGACCGGUUCCACCCACAGACAUGCAACUAGUUUUUCAUAAAGGUGGCUAGCGGGAGUCUGUUUCUCCAACUUUAGUUGAAUCAAGUUUGACCGCGGCUGGUCCUUAUUGAAGGUUAAAACAGAAAACUUGAUAAAUCACCAUUGUGGUUUUGAUGCAUAGGUAAGAACUGUUCUUGCUAGAAGCCCGUAGCAGCGACGUAAAACUUGCAACAACAAAGUAGAGGACGUCUAACUUGUUUUUGCAGGGCAUGUUGUGAUGUGAUAUGGUCAAGACAUGAUGUGAUAUACGUUAUUGUAUGAGAUGAUCAUGUUUUGUAAAAGUUACUAGCAACUGGUAGGAGCCUUAUGCUUGUCUCUUUAUUGUAUGAAAUGCAAACGCCAUGUAAUUGCUUUACUUUAUCACUAUGUGUUAGCGAUAGUUGUAGAAGCAAUAGUUGGCGAGACGACCACGAUGCUACGAUGGAGAUCAAGGUGUCAAGUCAGUGACGAUGGAGAUCAUGACGAUGCUUUGGAGAUGGAGAUGAAAAGCACAAGAUGAUUGUCGGUGUCAAAACCGGCAGAUCUCGGGUAGGGUGUCCCGAACUGUGCGUCUAUGGAUCGAAGGUAACAAGAGACAGGGAACACGAUGUUUACCCAGGUUUGGGCCCUCUUGAUGGAGGUAAUACCCUACAUCCUGCUUGAUUGACUUUGAUGAAUAUAGGGGUUACAAGAGUUGAUCUACCACGAGAUCGUAAUGGCUAAACCCUAGAUGUCUAGCCUGUAUGAUUAUGACUGUGUCUCUACGGACUAAACCCUCCGAUUUAUAUAGACACCGGAGGGACCUAGGGUUGUACAGAGUCGGUUUACAGAGGAAGGAAUCUUCAUAUCCGAAUGCCAAGCUUGCCUUCCACAUAAAGGAGAGUCCCAUACGGACACAGGAGGAAGUCUUCUGUCUUGUAUCUUCAUGGCCCAUUAGUCCGGCCCACGUCACAUAGCCCGGACGCCCGAGGACCCCUUAAUCCAGGACUCCCUCAGUAGCCCCUGAACCAGGCUUCAAUGAUGAUGUGUCCGGCGUGCAGAUUGUCUUCAACAUUGCAAGGUCGGUUCCUCCUCUGAAUACUUCAAAGUAGUCCUCGAACAUAGAAAACGUGUCCAGCUCUGCGAAACAGACACCACACACAACCACAAUAGGGUAUAAUAUUUAACAAUUCCCAUCUACUGACGACUUUCAUGGCGAGACGUUAUGUCCCUUGCCUGGUUAUUAUUUCGAACCAUCUUUCAGUCUCUCUCUCCAUGUUACAAGACGCGGUCUUUAUUGGCGCAUCUUGUCAAAGCAGAGAUCGUGCCCCCUUAUCACAGGAUUCUUAUCAAUAUGGGCGUGGGUAAUCCAACCGUGUCGUUUGCAUGAUCCCUUGGGAACAGGCGAGCUUUAAGGCCCGUGAGGAGGUGUUCAAUAUUCAUCGCCUUUAUAGAGGGGUACAUACCCGUCUUUCUCCCCCGCGCCUAUCUCUUCUUCAGCCCUUCCAGCCUCAAGCUCCAGCGCCCAGGUCUCGAUUUCUUUCAUUGCUACCAAGCCUUCUAGUCAUGUCCAGCUCUCAAGGUAGGUGGACGGUCUCCUCGGUCACCGAGGAAGAUAUCAUGAAGCUCCGGGAGGCGAGGUACCUGACUGCGGAAAUCCCCCACAGGCUCCCUGCCAAGGGGCAGGUUAUCCCCACACCUAAAUCCGGUGAGAGGGUUGUAUUCAUCUCUUACUUACUCCGCGGGCUAGGGUUCGCUCUCCACCCCUUCGUUCGUGGCCUUAUGUUCUAUUAUGGGCUUGAUUUUCGCGAUCUAGCUCCGGACUCCUUUCUCCACAUUUCAACAUUUAUUGUUAUGUGUGAAGCUUUUCUCCGCAUCCCCCACACUUUGGCCUAUGGCUCAAGACCUUCAAUGUGAAGCCGAAAAUAGUCGACGGGGAGCAGGUGGAGUGCGGUGGUGCUAUGGUGAGAAAGCUCGCCAAUACUGUCUGGCCAAAAGGAACCUUCACGGAAACCUCCAACUUAUGGCAGCGGGAGUGGUUCUAUAUCACCGAACCCCACGGUACCAAAUGGACAGCCACGCCUGCGUUCCGAUCUGGCCCUCCAUUUUGACUUGCAUCAUGGAUUAAUAAGGGGCUUGACUGGGGAUCAAUUGAUGAAGUGCAGACACUGCAAAGUUGUAUCCAGAGCAUCCUCGAAAAGGACACCCGCCUCAUUAACGUGAUCCAGGUGAUUCUAGUCCGCCGGAUACUCCCGUGUCAGCGACGGCCUCUCCGCAUGUCGGAGUUCAACCCGGAAGGUCUGCGGACCCUUCAGCAAUUCUUCGACACAAUGCACAGAGGGAUGUGGAAAAUAUUCUUCAAGACCUGAAAGUAGUGGCCGGACACAUCCGAGGACAUCGGCCUCAACUGCAACCAUUCGGAUACCUCGGUAAGCACCCAACUUCUGAACGCAACUCGGUUGAUUAUCCCAUAGCGACGUACCGAGAAACCUAUCUUCGACCAGGGCUGGAUAAAGGAGGAAUGAAUUAGGUGUUCGGCUCCCCUUCCCGAAGACUCAGUUGAUCCUGUGUUAAUGAGGACGCUGGCCCCGACGCCAUAUCAAAUGCCGGCGAGGGAGGACAAGAAGAAGAACAAGAGGGUUGAAGGUGGCCUCCACUCUAAAUGUAUACUGGACGCUACGUCCGGGGAGACUGAAGCUCCCUCUUCUGAAGAUGAAGACAAAGAGGAAGAAGAAAAAGGGGAUAUCCCUUUCCCCCAUGGGAAAAAAGGACUGCCUCCAAAGACUUGGAGGUGGAGGCACCCAAGAGAGGGAAGAUAUCCCUAUCAGAUGGUUCAGGUUCGGAAGCCGGUGUUGACGCAAAGCUCCUUUCUAGGGACAAGCCCUUUGCCGAAUCGUAAGUGAACAAGGACGCUCUAGACAUAUCCCAUUCUUUUUGGUUUGCAAGGGUAACAUUCAAACCAUAUGUUUGCAGUCCAGUCCACUAUCUACCUCGACAGUCCUCCUCAUCGGGGGACUUGCCUCCGGAGAUGAUGGAAAGAGAGACGCCUCCACAAGCUUCAUCCCCCUAAGGGCGGACGACUUCGAGGUGUCGUCCCGAAGGAUCUCUACUGACCAUCCAGUGGCUCGGGGGACAAUGGAGACAUCGCCUGAAGGUGAUACUUCAACCGUCAAGGGUCCAAGGGAGGCAGCCCCCACGGGGACCGACAAUGAGGGCCCCGAACUAUCCGAUUUACAGCCGCUGACGAUUCUAGGGUCGAGUAAGCAUACCCUUUUGAAGGGAGUCCGUAUUCCCGCAGCAGUCUUCGAGGAUCCGGAGGUGCCAGAUACACUAGUGGGCACAUUACAACGUGCGUCCAUCUCGGAGGAACAUCGUACCUUAAUGGGUACGGUAGUUGAGAGGAUUCUGUCCGUGAGAAGCGGAUUGAAUGAAGCCUUCACGAUCCUGCUGAGAGGCUUCGAGGUAUGCAAUGUAAUAUCUUCAACCGCUCUUUUCAUGCAAAAAUGCACCUGUGUAUAGAUAGUAGCCCCUAAGACUCUGGUCGGUUUCCAUAGGGAGGCGAUCAGAGGAUAAAAAAACAUAUGCUCAGGAAGUAACAUAAUUAAUUUGAAAACAUGAUGUUAUGUCAAAGGCGGCUGCCCAUGCUGCGGAAGUUGCAGAUUUAAAGCAUAAACUUGAGUUAGCUGAUGAGGACAUUACCCUCAUUAACAGACGGCUCGACGAGGCACAAGGUAUGUUUUGGGAUAGCCCGCUUAUGCAUGUAUAAUAGUAUGAGCACGAAGCUGAAAAUUAUACACCGUGACAUGCAUAAUUGUAGAUGGUGCUACCGCGGUUGAGACCCUUCGGGCCGAGCUUGCCCAGGCCAAGGAGCAUGCUAGAGUGAGUAAUGCGGCUGCCAAGAAGGCGGCUGCUGAAUUAAAGGCCGAACAGGCCACCCGACACCAGUGCGAGGAGAGAAUAUCUACCAUGGAGCGAGAGCUGGAGGAUGCCAUUGGAAAAUGCAAAUCACUCGAGGAGGAUAACAAAGCCAAGGCAGCCGAAUUCGACAAGGCCUUACAAGAGGCGAGAGAAGCACGGUCCGAGUCUAGAACGGCUCGGGAGGAUGUACUGGGCAAAGAUGAAGGCCACCGAUGUUGCAGCUAAGGGCCCGCACAGAGGCAAAGACCAUGGCACGCCGGAGCAUUAUUUGGAGGAUGUCCUAGAGGGCGCCCGCUUGAUAGAGGGUCAGUGCUCGAAGGAUAUUAUGUUCGAAUAAAUGCACCGGAAUUGUGAGAACAAUAUUAUGAUACAUCAAGGCUGUGUUAUAUUUAUGCCUUUGCCUGAAAGUUAUUUCCUCCUGUGCGACCGUCUUUUGUAAUCUGAAAGUUUUCCAGUCGUUGGCUUCGGCCCCCUCGCAUAUAAUACGAGGGUGUUCGGAAUAGCACCUGAUCACUCUUGACCCAACGUCUUGGUCCGUAACGGAGGUGUCAGUGCGGCAAACUAGGCAAUCGGACUAUAGGGCCUUAACACUUUCAUUUAGCCAUAGGAGUUUUACGGUGGGUCUACUAUGUAGCCCCUGGUAUGUACGCGGUUAUAAGAAUACAAUUGCGUUACAUAGGUGACCAAAAAAUAAACAACGGUCCUUCGUGUAGUACAGAAGAAAUCACAAAAGAUUUUAAUAAGUCUUCGAGUGGUUGACCAGCUCUCGCCGCAUCAUGACAGUCAGUUUUCGGCUUUCUCUACAGAGGUGUUUAACCAGGUGAACCGGAAACACAAUCGCAGUAGUUCUCCCUUUACUACCCUAGCCGAUAAGAUGGAACGUAAAGUAGUAAGAACAGGAGCCGGGCAACCCAACUAUUGACCAAAUACAUGAUUCAGAGCUGAUGCAUAUAAUGCCAAACUCGUGACGCCGAAGUAUGCUGUAGAGUUGUUCGGACUUUUUGGCAACCCAUAUGUUGCCGUAUCGAGCCCCUGACUAUUUGUGCCGUGGUGUGUGCGUGAAACAACCGAAAAAUGCAGUUCUAUGAGCAAAAGCAAAUACUGAAGAUGGAUUAUGUUCACUGGAAUCUGAUUGAUACAUCGAACGCAAUCUUACAGAUUAUAACACCACUAUCGGCGUUCUGGGAACGGGGGUCCCCAAACUUGCCUGCCUGCGGCCUGCGGCGUGGCUCAAAAGGGGCCCCAGCGCGGCCCAUCUUCACCAACACAAACCCAAGACCCUCGCGAGGGGCCAAGCCUCGCGGGGCGGACGACGUGGAGCUUCCUCAGGCACGACCUCGUCAGGCUGGCUCACGAGGAGGUGGAGAGAUCAAGGCGGGGUACCUCACGAGGUGCCCGUGACACAAGCCAUGACGACCGAGGGCGCUAGGCGGGUGCCAGCCCGCGCAGUGUCCUCCUUCCCUCUUUGGUGCAAGGGGGGCAAGCACAGCCGCAGAGUACCGAGGCAUCAGGCAAAGGUUGCCAUUUUGGUGCAACGAGACCAAGACCAGGAGGACUACGAGACGGAGGUCACCGUGGAGCCCAAGACGGCGUCAUCACCAGAGCUUUGCGCAGGCGAAGACUAGUUUUGUCAGGAUAGCUAGUACUAGCUGCCCCCCUUCAAAUUAGCCCGCCAUUGUUGGCUCCCUUCCCACUCGAUAUUUGGGAAGAGGACCAGGGCCUCUAUAAAUAGGACCAGCCACCCAUAGAGCAAGGGGGCCGGGUUUUUUGGAAGGAUAGAGAAGAUCAGGAAGAGAGAGAGAGAGAGAGAGAGAGAGAGAGAGAGAGAGAGAGAGAAAGGUGACCGAGCUCCUCCCAGCAGUUCAUCGCCCCAGCCAAGAACAGACCAUCGCGAGGUUGUUCUUCCUUGUAUUGUUCAUCAUCAUCAGCCCAAGAGGCAAUCCACCACAGCACACACUGGAGUAGGGUAUUACACCACAACGGUGGCCCGAACCAGUAUAAACCCUGCGUCUCUUGUGUUAUUUUUGCCCUAGUUUUANNNNNNNNNNNNNNNNNNNNNNNNNNNNNNNNNNNNNNNNNNNNNNNNNNNNNNNNNNNNNNNNNNNNNNNNNNNNNNNNNNNNNNNNNNNNNNNNNNNNNNNNNNNNNNNNNNNNNNNNNNNNNNNNNNNNNNNNNNNNNNNNNNNNNNNNNNNNNNNNNNNNNNNNNNNNNNNNNNNNNNNNNNNNNNNNNNNNNNNNNNNNNNNNNNNNNNNNNNNNNNNNNNNNNNNNNNNNNNNNNNNNNNNNNNNNNNNNNNNNNNNNGAGGCGAAAUCUCCGCGCGCACCCCAGUGUUCGAACCUCAAGGGUCUGCCGAAACCCGAAAUCCGACAUUUGGCGCGCCAGGUAGGGGUGCGCCGGGAUUCGUCUUCAACCACCCGUUAUCCUCCGACCAUCACGCCCAUGUCUGACGCUCGUCGGGCCCGCGCCGAGUGCCGGGCCGCGCUCGCUUCCCGCGUCGCCCAGACGGCCCCUGUCGGCGGGCGCCCUCGCCGUUCCCCGUCACCUGCCGUCAACGCCGCCACCGGCCCGGUGGGGGACGAGCGGCAAGCAUCGUCCAAGCAUCCGUCCGUGCGGCAAGACGGCCGCACCGCAACUCCCUCGCUCACCCCAGCUGGUUCUUUGUCCCGCGCGCUCCGCGCACCCAUGGAGGCUCGAGCUACACUCAUCGCGGCGAACGAGCUCCUGCGCUACCGCCCCGUCAACGACGUCUAUGAAGAAUGGCUCGACCCCGUCGCCGAGCUCGUCCGCGCCACAGGGGGCUCUCCUGCGCCGUCCGUUCCGCUGCACCGCACCCCGCCCCGUGCGGGCAAUGAAGCUCCGGCGGCGCCCCGACCGCCUCCUCCUCAGGAAGGCGCCAUGGAUCCAAGGCACGUGGCCCCUGGGCGGAACCCGCUCCGUCAGGCGCCAGCGCUGCAAGAGCAGAGCUGUCAAGAAGUCCCUCGCCCGCAAGAAGCUGCCCGGGCGCUCCCUGCUCCAGCACGUCGCGACCAUGGUCCUGCUCCCGCGCGUCAAGACCCCGCGCUGCUCCCAGCUGCAGCGCAUGGGGAUAUCCAAGACCAAGCUCCCCGGCAUCCAAGACCUCCCGUGGCCACAGCAGGCUGCCGCGCCUUCACCGCCGAGCUACGCAGCGUCGCGUGGCCCGGCAAGUUCAAGCCGGACUUGCCUCCUCGCUACGACGACACAACUGACCCUGCGGAGUUCCUCCAGCUCUACGAGCUGGGCAUCGAAGCUGCCAACGGAGACGAGAAGGUCAUGGCGAAUUGGUUCCCCAUGGCACUCAAGGACGGGGCCCGCACCUGGCUCCUGAACCUGGCUCCAGGCACAAUCUCCUCCUGGGAUGAGAUGCGCACCCACUUCAUCGCCAACUUCCAAGGCACUCGCGACCGGCCACCCGCCGUGAGCGACAUGCGCCGCAUCAAGCAGCAGCCCGGGGAGACCCUGCAGAAGUACAUCCAGCGCUUCAACAACGCGCACCUCAAGAUUCCCAAGGUGACCGAGGAGGCCAUCAUCUCGGCCUUCUCCGACGGCGUGCGCGACGUCAAGAUGAAGGAGGAGCUGGCAAUGCAUGAAGACUUGUGCAUUUCCUUGGAGCUGUUCAACCUGGCAACCAAGUGCGCCAGGGCCGAGGAAGGGCGUCUCUCCCUCCUCGAGCUGCCUGCCGCAGACCUAGAAGAUAAGAAGCCCAAGGCCAAGGAUGUGAAGCGCAAGGGGCCUGCCGUGCUUGCGGCAGAACCAGACACCGAGCGAGGCAGAGAUCAGCCCGAACCUUCCAAGGGCGGCCGGUACUGUGUGUACCACGACCUCCACACCCACAACACCAACGAAUGCCAAGAGCUCCGAGCCAUGCGAGAAGGAAGGAUCGGCCGCCGCCCUGACCGCAGCGACCGGGGCUACGGCCGAGGAGGAGGAAGGAACACAGGACGCUGGGAAGACCGUGGCCCACGCCAAGGGUGGCGCGACCAACCACGCGAGGAUCGCUGGCAAGACCCGCCUCGUGAGGGAGGCUGGAGGGAUCAGCCUCGCGACGGGGACUGGAGGGAUCAGCCUCGCGAGGAUCGCCCGCAAGGCAACGCAGGCCUCCCACCGCUGCCACCGCAGCCAAGAAGAAACGAAGACCACCACCAGGACGAGGGGGCUGGGGGCUUCCAGGAGCCGCGCGCUAUUGCUUGCAUCCUGGGCGGGGCACAAGCCCCAGCCUCUCAGCGCAUCUUCAAGCAGUUCGCCCGCGAAGUGAAUGCAGUCCUCCCCAAGCUCGAAGCCACGCGCCCUCUCAGGUGGUCGGCGUGCGCCAUCAUGUUCAGCUCAGUAGAUCAGCUCAAGUGUGCGGCUACAGCCGGAGUCCUCCCGACGCUUUGUUCCCCAAUCAUCAGCAAUGUGGUGGUCACCAAGACCCUCAUCGACGGCGGGGCAGGGCUCAACGUCCUGUCCGUGGAAACAUUCAACAACCUCCAAGUUCCCUACAACCAGCUUCAGCCAACCAAGCCUUUCUCCGGUAUCACCGACGGCUCCACGGUCCCGAUUGGGCAGGUCCGCCUCCCUGUCACCUUCGGGGCACGCGACAACUACCGCACCGAGCUCAUCGACUUCGACGUCGCUCACAUUCGCCUGCCGUACAACGCCAUCCUUGGGUACCCAACACUGGCCAAGUUCAUGGUCGUAACUCACCACGGCUACAACGUCCUCAAGAUGCCAAGAAGUGGCGGAGUCAUCACGGUGCCCUGUGAAGAGAGGGACGCGGUGUGUUCCCUGGAACGAGCCUUUCAGGCCGUGUCGCUGGAAGACCCGGAUCGUGGAAGCAGGAGGCCUCCCGAGACCGCCCCUAAGAAGAAGAAGACAUUGUCCGGCCCGACCACUCAGGAGACAGGCCCCUCUGGGCCCGCGCCUGCCCAGGGGGAGCCUCCUUCCAUCGCAUAGGAAAGCGCGCCCGGCGCCCUCCUCAGGCAAGGCUCGGGGGCUCUCCCUUGGAGGGCCGCCGACCUAGCUAGGGUCACGAGGGAGGCGCUUGGGCACCACAUGGAGGCGUGUUUCGAAGCACGUUUCCCUCAGGAAUGAGCAAGGCAAGGAGAUCCAGACCCUCAGGAGUUCGUCAGCAAGGCCAUUCAGGAGCUACAGGAGUCAAGAGUCAUGAAAGGUGGCCGCCGCCUACCAGCAGUGGCUCCCCAUCCAGGCGAGGUUGGUGGGCUGCGCGUCUGCAUCGACAUACCAGGGCUCAACCGAGUCGCCUCUCUGGAGCGCCUCUGGCCCUCGCGGGUGGGGCGCUGCAGAGGCCCACCCAACAGCUACGUUCGCAUGCCUUACGACCUGCCGAGCGUGGCUGACGCGUACCAGCGCCUCAUGAGGAGCAUCACGGAGGCAUGAGAGGCCAGGCGUUCCGCUGCCCUGGCAGGGAUGGAGAUGGCCCCCGAGGAGCCGCCAGCACCUCCGGAGCCUCCCGAGGCCCCUGGGCCUGGGGGCUCGUGAGGAUCGGCUCCCGCAGCCCACCGAGCCUGCUACAUCAACGCUCCUUCGUCCUCAACAUCAUCAGGUGACACCUUUCUAGUUCUACUUCCAGCUGGGAGCGCCCCCCCAGGGCUGCAUUAUUCCCAGGCCGCAUGGGUCCGUCCCUGCAGCAUGUAUCCGCUUUUUCAUUCCAAGUUGUUAGCUUACCUUGUUGGGGGCGCCCCUCGGGCUGCAUGAUCCCCAAGUCGCUCGGGCCUGACCCAGUGAUGUACGCACUCCCAGCAUCUAUCUGAACGAAUCCACUCCUUCGCGGCUAAUGUGUUCUACCUAGUUGCCUGCUCAGCUGACGCCAACUAAUGGAGCUGCUCCCAAACGGCACGACGCUUGCGCAUGGGUCCGUCCCUGCAACGCCGACAAACCUGGAUGGCUCAGCUCUGGCCGCGGCAGCCCCGCAUAGCGUCACCUUGUUAAGCCUUCAGUGCCUCACUACCCCUCGGAAGCAACCAAUGGCCGACUGUCAAUUGUCAUGGCAACCCCUUGAUUUUUCUAUGGUGGACCUGCAGGACCUCCUGAAGGAGCUGCGUCAGGCGAGGCCCUUGCGGUGUCUCCUUCGCUCUUGUCCGCGCAAACCGCUUGCACAUUAAAGGGGGGGUGCCUGAGCAUCGCGACUCAGGGCUCCUACUGGCUCGCUAGCCCUCACCCUCUGGCCUUGACCACGGCAUCGCGACCUGGCAUACCAGCGACGGCUGAGACUCGCUCGAGGGCCGGGACCUGAGGACGUAGAGCAGAAAGGGGAACAAAGGCGAGAGGGGAGAGACACGCGAGGACCUCACCGAGCAACCUCGCGCCUGCCGAUGCACGGACCCGGCGACACACCAGAGAGCGGCCCCUGAUCCUCGAGAUAAGUCAUCACCCGAAGCGCCAGCUAUCGUGGCACCAUCCCCGCACCUAAUGCCAUCCUGUGUUAGCGACGCCACUCUCCUUUCUCACCAAACGACGGCUGCUUGGGCGCCAAAGGGGACCUCCUGAGCAUCGCGACUCAGGGGCUCUUACCGGACUCCGGGUCGCUCACCUCCUGGCCUUGACCACGGCAUCGCGACCUGGCAUACCAGCGACGACUGAAGCCGCCUUGGGACUGGGACCUGUCGGCGCAGAGCACCAAGCCCUCGUGAGGUUCGAAAGGGAGGACUGAGCUAAGACGGAAUGAGCAACUCACACAAUUCUACAACAGGGGUUAUAUUAACAAAACAGGAUCACAUGCACCUUACAAGCCCCCACGGGACGCAUUUUUGAUUCCUCGAAGGGAACAGAUCCUAAAGGGACACAAACUACGCGCGUCCCAGCAAAAGACGCCAUCAUCAACAGUGGGCCGCCAAGCACCGACACCAACCCCAUCCAGAUCAGGGUCGGCGGCGGCCUGACGAGCCCGCCCUGCUCUAGGAGCGGCGCCGGCUCGGGGGCUCGUAGCUGUCUUCGCUCAUCUCCGGAGUCACGAAGAGCUCGCUGGAGUCGCUGGAACCUCCAACGCCUCCACCACCUGAGGAGCCGCCAAGGGGGCGGUUGGCGGGCCCAGUCCUUGUCACGGCAGGGUCCUGGCCGCCUUCCCCGGGGCAGCACUCCAGCCGGCGCCCGCUCGCAUCAAAGACCUUGAAGAGCAUCACCGAAGCACCGUCGUAAUCCAAGUGGACCGUGAAGACGCCCCUUACCCUGCAAACCCGGGCGAUCUCUCUCCAGCCCCGAGUCAUGUAGACCUCGCCCGAGGCAACGACCGCGACCUCCGCCUCGGUCGCGAGGGUGCUGCAGCCGGCGUGCUGCAGCCAGAGCUCCAGGGGCUCCCCCUGCAGGAUGAUGGAGGCGAAGAAGGGAGGAAGGCGGAUCCAAGACUAGAGAGGAAUGGCGACGUGAAGCAUGAACUCUUGGGAGGAGCCCUCGGUGUGGACCCCAGGGGGGACGACCCACACCUUCGUGACCCGCCGGCGCCGACGGCGGCGUCGCCCGCGACGGUCAGUAUCAGCUCCUUCAGGGCCCUCGACGUGGGCGUACAAUAGAAGCGGGAACCCCGGUGGUGCACGCUCGCACAAGGGCCUCGNNNNNNNNNNNNNNNNNNNNNNNNNNNNNNNNNNNNNNNNNNNNNNNNNNNNNNNNNNNNNNNNNNNNNNNNNNNNNNNNNNNNNNNNNNNNNNNNNNNNNNNNNNNNNNNNNNNNNNNNNNNNNNNNNNNNNNNNNNNNNNNNNNNNNNNNNNNNNNNNNNNNNNNNNNNNNNNNNNNNNNNNNNNNNNNNNNNNNNNNNNNNNNNNNNNNNNNNNNNNNNNNNNNNNNNNGAGCCUUUCCCUUCUCUGCCGUCGAGAACCGGUGGAUCGGAGCCAUCGCAGCAAGACGGAGCAAGGAUCGGGAAGAAGGAGAAGCAAGGAGGGAUGGACUGGAAGGGCGCGCGCUGUUCCGUACUUAUGGCCGGCGAAGGCCAACCGCCUACCUCCACGAUCGUAGGUAAUCAUGACCCACUUUGCAUGCAGGGACUUGUCCAAUCCAUGCAGUUGCCAAGGCGCCAUGGGGAAGUGGAGGCGCCCACGUCCAAUCAACCGCCACGCGGCGCCCAAGGCCGCAGACUGUUAGGGCCCGCGUCGCUUCGCUCUUGCCCUUCCGCCUCCCUGCACGGCCAAGUCCGGGCGCGCCUUGGGCCCGGGGGGUACUGUCAGCGUUCUGGGAACGGGGGUCCCCAGACUUGCCUGCCUGCGGCCUGCGGCGCGGCUCAAAAGGGGGCCCAGCGUGGCCCAUCUUCACCAACACAAACCCAAGACCCUCGCGAGGGGCCAAGCCUCGCGGGGCGGAUGACGCGGAGCUUCCUCAGGCACGGCCUCGUCAGGCUGGCUCACGAGGAGGCGGAGAGAUCAAGGCGGGGUACCUCACGAGGUGCCCGUGACGCAAGCCAUGACGACCGAGGGCGCCAGGCGGGUGCCAGCCUGCGCAGUGUCCUCCUUCCCUCUUUGGUGCAAGGGGGCAAGCGUAGCCACGGAGUACCGACGCAUCAGGCAAAGGUUGCCAUUUCGGUGCAACGAGACCAAGACCAGGAGGACUACGAGACGAAGGUCACCAUGGAGCCCAAGACGGCGUCAUCACCAGAGCUUUGCGCAGGCGAAGACUACUUUUGUCAGGAUAGCUAGUACUAGCUGUCCCCCUUCAAAUUAGCCCGCCAUUGUUAGCUCCCUUCCCGCUCGAUAUUUGGGAAGAGGACCAGGGCCUCUAUAAAUAGGACCAACCACCCACAGAGCAAGGGGGCCGAGUUUUUUGGAAGGAUAGAGAAGAUCAGGAAGAGAGAGAGAGAGAGAGAGAGAGAGAGAGAGAAAGGUGACUGAGCUCCUCCCAGCAGUUCAUCGUCCCAGCCAAGAACAGACCAUCGCGAGGCUGUUCUUCCUUGUAUUAUUCAUCAUCAUCAUCCCAAGAGGCAAUCCACCACACCACACACUGGAGUAGGGUAUUACACCACAACGGUGGCCCGAACCAGUAUAAACCCUGCGUCUCUUGUGUUGUUUUUGCCCUAGUUUUAGAUCCUAGCAAGGCGGGGGGGGGGUGCAGGUAGGUAGGAGGCGAAAUCUCCGCGCGUACCCCAGUGUUCGAACCUCAAGGGUCUGCCGGAACCUGAAAUCCGACAACCACUACCCAGGCCAUUUUACAUGCCAGGGGUUGAAGGCUGAGAAAAAAGGCUCUAUACAGGUUUUAAGUAGAGUGUUUCGUCUACAGAAAAUCUUUUGGACCUCCUGUCGCAUGUCUGUGCUUCCGUUGCCUCAGCGAAAAGUAUUCCUUAAAAGGAGUAAUCUUUGGUUAUUUGUACAAAACCGGGCUCAGAAAGAGUCCUUAUAGGUCCGUAGGAUGAACCAUUUUUGAUUCACCUAUGGCAAAAGAUAAGAUAUAGUUAGAAAAGAGAAAAAAGGUUGUAGGAGGGCAAACCGUAUUGUAGGCCUGCUCGUAUUGUGCCUCCGCCGAUGACCAAAGUAUUUUAAGUGCAUAAUUAUGCAUGCGCGAUACGAACUUCGCAGGUAUAUGUGGCGAACGACGGAGGUCGAACUGCUAAUCCAGCUUUAGAAUUGGCCGGUCCUGUGUAAUAGAGGCCGGCGGCUUAAUGGCCGAUGAGAUAUGCGGCUUGAUGGGGCCGCUCUGUACUUCGGCUGUGAUGGCCGCGGUAUGAUCCUCGGUAUGGAGGGUGCGUUCUGUGUUUCUAUUGAUCAUGAUGACGCCGCGUGGACCGGACAUCUUAAGUUUUAGAUAGGCGUAGUGUGGGACCACAUUAAAAUGAGCAAAAGUGGUCCGCCCGAGCAGUGCAUGGUAGCCACUGCGCAACGGGACAAUAUUGAAGAUCAAGGCUUCGCUUCGAAGGUUGUCUGGUGAACUGAAGACGACUUUGCUACCUCUUGAGCACUGCGUUGGUUUUCCCUUGAAGAGGAAAGGGUGAUGCAACAAAGUAGCGUAAGUAUUUCCCUCAGUUUUUGAGAACCAAGGUAUCAAUCCAGUAGGAUACUACACGCAAGUCACCUCGCACCUACACAAACAAAUAAGAACCUCCCAACCAACACGAUAAAGGGGUUGUCAAUCCCUUCACGAUCACUUACGAGAGUGAGAUAUGAUAAAGAUAAUAAGAUAAAUAUUUUUGGUUUUUUAUUAUAUAGAUUGGAAAAUAAAGAUUGCAAAAUAAAAUAGAUUGGAAACUUAUAUGAUAGAAGAUUGACCCGGGGGCCAUAGGUUUCACUAGUGGCUUCUCUCAAGAUAGCAUAAAUAUUACAGUGGGUAAACAAAUUACUGUCAAGCAAUUGAUAGAAAAGUGCAUAAUUAUGAGAAUAUCUAGGCAUGAUCAUGUAUAUAGGCAUCACGUCCGUGACAAGACCGAAACGAUAUGCAUCUACUACUAUUACUCCACACAUCGACCACUAUCCAGCAUGUAUCUAGAGUAUUAAGUUCAUAAGAACAGAGUAACACAUUAGGCAAGAUGACAUGAUGUAGAGGGAUGAACUCAAGCAAUAUGAUAUAAACCCCAUCUUUUUAUCCUCGAUGGCAACAAUACAAUAGUGACUUGCUACCCCUGCUGUCACUAGGAAAGGACACAACAAGAUUGAACCCAAAGCUAAGCACUUCUCCCAUUGCAAGAAAGAUCAAUCUAGUAGGCCAAACCAAACUAAUAAUUCGAAGAGACUUGCAAAGAUAACAAAUCAUACAUAAAAUAUUUUAGAGAAGAAUUAAAUAUUGUUCAUAGAUAAUCUUGAUCAUAAACCCACAAUUCAUCGGAUCUCGACAAACGCACCGCAAAAAGAAUUACAUCAAAUAGAUCUCCAAGAAGAUGGAGGAGAACUUUGUAUUGAGAUCCAAAGAGAGAGAAGAAGCCAUCUAGCUAAUAACUAUGGACCCGAUGGUCUGUGGUAAACUACUCACACAUCAUCGGAGAGGCCAUGGCGUUGAUGUAGAAGUCCUCCGUGAUUGAUUCCCCCUUCGGCGGAGCUCCGGAAAAGGCCCCAAGAUGGGAUCUCUUGGGUACAGAAGGUUGCGGCGGUGGAAAUAGGGUUUCAUGGUGCUCCUAGAUGUUUUUGGGGUAUAUGGAUAUAUAUUGGAGGAAGAAGUAGGUCGGUGGAGCUGCGAGGGGCCCAUGAGGGUGGGGGCGCCCCCAGGGGGCAGGCGCGCCUCCCUGCCUUGUGGCCUCCUCGCUCCUUUCUUGACGUCUACUCCAAGUCCCCUGGAUCACGUUUGUUCCAAAAACAACUCUCUCGAAGGUUUCAUUCCGUUUGGAUUCCGUUUGAUAUUCCUUUUUUGCGGAACACUAAAAUAGGCAAAAAAACAACAAUUUGCACUGGGCCUUGGGUUAGUAGGUUAGUCCCAAAAUUAAUAUAGAAGUGUAUAAUAAAGCCCAUUAAACAUCCAAAACAGAUAAUAUAAUAGCAUGGAACAAUAAAAAAUUAUAGAUACGUUGGAGACGUAUCAGACUUCCAAUGUGAUUGAACCCGUGAUGCGAGCUUCGACGCCAGGUAUUACUCCCUUGAAGGUAGUUGUGGUGGGCUUGAUCCUUGAGGUGUCAAUGCCCAUCUUGCGGACAGUGUCUUGAUAAAGUAAAUUAAGGCUACCACCGCCGUCCAUAAGGACCCAUAUGAGAUGGAAUCCAUUGAUAAUUGGAUCGAGGACCAGAGCUGCUGAACCUCCAUGACAGAUAUUGGUUGGGUUGUCCUUGCGAUCAAAAGUGAUCGAGCAGACCGCCCAUGGAUUGAAUUUUGGGGCGUCCGGUCUUAUGGCGUAGACGUCUCGUAGUGAGCGCUUGCUCUCCCUUGUAGGGAUAUACGUCACAUAUAUCAUGUUUACUAUUUUGACUUUGGGGGGAAAUUGCUUCUGUCUCUCGUUGUUUGGUUGGCGAGUCUCUUUGUCUUCGCUGUCACUGGGCGGCCCCUUCCCUUUGUGUUCGACAUUGAGCUUGCCGGCUUGUUUGAAAACCCAGCAAUUUCUGUUGGUAUGGUUAGCAGGUUUGUCAAGGCUGCCAUGAAUCUGGCAGGGCUGAUCCAGUAUCCUGUCUAAACUGGAUGGACCAUCUCUAUUUUCCUUGAAUGGCUUCUUCCGUUGACCAUAUUUGGGGCCAUUGAAUCUAGCGUUGACCGCCGUGUCUUGGGUUCCAGCAUUAUUGUUUCGACGCUUGUUUUUAUUGUGUUGUGGCUUGCCGUUUCCGUCCCUGGCUUCGGAGGUGCCGGGAUCGCUGGUGCUAUUUCUCCUACGAGCAAGCCAGCUAUCUUCUCCCGCACAAAAGCAGGUCAUCAGUGAGGUAAGAGCUACCAUGGACUUAGGUUUUUCUUGGCCGAGGUGACGGGAGAGCCACUCAUCUCGGACGCUAUGUUUAAAGGCCGCGUGGGCUUCAGCGUCCAGACAGACGACAAUUUGGUUCUUUUUAAUUAGGAACAUAGUCCAGAGUUUCCUGGCUGACUCUCCAGGCUGCUGGAUGAUGUGACUGAGGUCAUCGGUGUCCGGAGGCCGGACAUAUGUACCUUGGAAGUUGUUGCGAAAGGCGUCUUCCAAGUCUUCCCAGUUGCCAAUGGAGUUCUCUGGGAGGUUGUUUAGCCAGUGCUGGGCUGGUCCCUUUAAUUUUAGUGCGAGGUAUUUGAUGGCAUGGAGAUCAUCACCGCGGGCCAUGUGGAUAUGGAGAAGAAAAUCCUCAAUCCAUACUGCAGGGUCGGUUGUUCCAUCAUAUGAUUCGAUAUUCAUAGGUCUAAACCCUUCCGGGAAUUCAUGCUCCAUUACUUCCUCGGUGAAGCACAGGGGGUGUGCGGUGUCUCUAUAACGGGCGACAUCAUGACGGAGUUCGACAGACGUCCCUAUUCGGUUUUCACCCUAAGUGAGGUUGUGUUGAUUACGCCGGGCCUGAUAGCCGUCCUCUCGUGUUGGGGCACGUCCCCUUGACCCGUAGAUUGAUCUGGCUAGGCCUGCCCUAGUGUCCAGGUUCUAUCGUAGGUCGUAGGUGUAAUCUCGGGCCACUGUCUCCCUACCUUUACGGCGGGGUAAUGUGGGCUAGUGUUCGGCUUGGGUAGCCGUUUUUUCUCGGUCAUGUGGUGGCCGGUCUGGUUUAUCGGCUGCAUUACACACUGAUGUUAGGGGCACCCGCGCCUCAACGUCGAAUUGGGGUAACAACUUGUGCUUCGGGUAGCUUUUGGUUGGUCGUGUGAGGCCGUAUUCCUCGGCUGCCAGGACAUUAGCCCAUCUGUCAUUGAGCGUAUCCUAUUCGGCUUGAAGCCAUUGUUGUUUCCUUUUCAGGCUCCUCGCAGUUGCGAUGAGCUGUUGCUUAAAGCGUUCUUGCUCGAGGGGUUCCUCUAGCACGAUGAAGUCUUCGUCGCCGAGGCUUAUUUCGUCUUCGGAGGGUGAUAUAUAAUUGUUGUCCUCCGAGUCUUUGUUUCCGACUGGCUCGUCAGGGUUACCCUGCCCCUCCUCCCUAUCGUCCUGUUCAGAUGUUGGUUCGGUGGGGGCGUCUGGGUCUUUGGCAUUCUCUGGAGUGUUAUCGUUUCCGUUGCUGGUAUUACUUUCUUUGUUGCGGCAUGAUUUUGAACGGCGCCGCUGGUGCCACUGCUUCAGUGGUUUAUCAGUGUUAUUGUCCUUGAUUGGAUCCUUACUGCCUUCAUCGCCAUCCUCUUUUUGUGUAUCCACCAUGGAUAUGUCGUAUGUGGAGGUGGCCGCCCAGCAUCGGGUAUGCGGCGGGUUUUGGCUUUGUUCGUCUGUGAAAUCGACGUCCAUACCAUAGAUGUCUUCGGAGGUACGGUCAAGCAUGUCGGUUAGGUCCUCGACAGUGGCUAUGAAGUGGGUGGUGGGUGGGAUGUGAAAUUCCCCGCUCUCAGCCCCUAGUUCGGGCUGGGCGUAGUUCGGACAUUGCCCCUCUGUAAUGACGAGGGAUCGCAUUAAGUCCAGAGCCUCGCUUAAAGGCGAGGUUUGGCCAGGGAGAAGAGAGUCUGUGGAGUACGGUGGGAAGGAAACUCCUUGACCAAGCUCACACGAUGCUGACUCUGAGGGUCCGGAGCCAGUGUUCGGAGAAGAGUCUGGCUUCAUGAUGAUUGCCGGUGACACUACUUCCUCCGGCUCUCCCAUACUAGGCUCACUAGCCGCAGGUAGUCUGGCGGGCUCGGACAUCCCGUCUUCGGACCUGGUAAUGCGCUACGGAUCUAAGGCCAGAGCGGAGGUUGGGGUCGCGAAUCCUUGGAAGAUCAAAUCUCCUCGAAUAUCGGCGACAUAAUCCAGAUUUCCAAAACUAAUCGGGUGACCUGGGGCGUAGCUGUCGAUUUGCUCUAGAUGGCCAAACGAGUUGGCCCAUAGUGCGAAGCCGCCGAACACAAAGAUCUGGCCGGGGAGAAAGACCUCCCUCAGGGAUGCAUUGUUGUAGAUGAUUGAUGGAGCCAUCAAGCCUUUCAACGAUGGCACAGUGGAACUCUCAAUGAAAGCACCAAUGUCGGUGUCAAAACCGGCAGAUCUCGGGUAGGGGGCCCCAAACUGUGCGUCUAAGGAUCGAAGGUAACAGAAGACAGGGGACACGAUGUUUACCCAGGUUCGGGCCCUCUUGAUGGAGGUAAUACCCUAUGUCCUACUUGAUUGACUUUGAUGAAUAUAGGGGUUACAAGAGUUGAACUACCACGAGAUCGUAAUGGCUAAACCCUAGAUGUCUAGCCUGUAUGAUUAUGACUGUGUCUCUACGGACUAAACCCUCCAGUUUAUAUAGACACCGGAGGGACCUAGGGUUGUACAGAGUCGGUUUACAGAGGAAUGAAUCUUCAUAUCCGGACGCCAAGCUUGCCUUCCACGUAAAGGAGAGUCCCAUCUGGACACGGGAGGAAGUCUUCUGUCUUGUAUCACGGCCCAUUAGUCCGGCCCACGUCACAUAGCCCGGAUGCCUGAGGACCCAUUAAUCCAGGACUCCCUCAAUGAUGAUGGUCACAUCAUGUCACAUAUUUUGAUUGCAUGUGAUGUUUAUAUUUUAUGCAUCUUAUUUUGCUUAGUACGGCGGUAGCAUUAUAAGAUGACCCCUCACUAAAAUUUUCAAGGUAUAAGUGUUCUCCCCGAGUAUGCAUCGUUGCGACAGUUCAUCGUGUUGAGACACCACGUGAUGAUCGGGUGUGAUAGACUCUACGUUCACAUACAACUGGUGCAAGACAGUUUUGCACAUGUGGAAUACUCGGGUUAAACUUGACGAGCCUGACAUGUAUAGACAUGGCCUCGGAACACUAGAGACCGAAAGGUCAAACGUGAAUCAUAUAGUAGAUAUGAUCAACAUAGAGAUGUUCACCAUUGAUGACUACUCCAUCUCAUGUGAUGAUCAAACAUGGUUUAGUUGAUUUGGAUCACGUAUCAUUUGGAUGACUUGAGGGAUGUCAAUCUAAGUGGGAGUUCUUAAGUAAUACGACUAAUUGAACUUAAUUUAUCAUGAACUUAGUCCUGAUAGUUUUUGCAUAUCUAUAUUGUAGAUCAAUGGCCCGUGCUACCGUUCCCUUGAAUUUUAAUGCAUUCCUAGAGAUAGCUAAGUUGAAAGAUGAUGGUAGCAACUACACGGACUGGGUCCGUAACUUGAGGAUUAUUCUCAUUGCUCUACAGAAGAACUAUGUCCUUGAUGCACCGCUAGGUAAAAGGCUUGAUGCAGGAGCAAAUGAUGAUGUUAUGAACAUCUGGCAAGCUCGGUCUGAUGAGUACUCGAUAGUUCAGUGUGCCAUGCUUCACGGCUUAGAAUUGGGACUUCAAAGACAUUUUGAACGUCAUGGACCAUAUGAGAUGUUCCAGGAGUUGAAGUUAAUAUUUCAAGCAAAUGCCCGAGUUGAGAGAUAUGAAGUCUCCAACAAGUUUUAUAGCUACAAGAUGGAGGAGAACCGUUCUGUCAGUGAACACAUACUCAAAAUGUCUGGGUAUCAUAAUCACUUAACUCAGCUGGGAGUUAAUCUUCAAGAUGAUAGUGUUAUUGACAGAGUUCUUCAAUCACUGCCACCAAGCUACAAAGGCUUCGUGAUGAACUAUAAUAUGCAAGGGAUGUAUAAGACAAUUCCCGAGCUCUUCACUAUAGUCAAAGCUACAGAGGUAGAAAUCAAGAAGGAGCAUCAAGUGUUGAUGGUUAACAAGACCACUAGUUUCAACAAAAAGGGCAAAGGAAAGAAGGGGAACUUCUAGAAGAAUGGCAAGCAAGUUGCCACUCUCGGGAAGAAGCCCAAAUCUGGACCCAAGCCUGAAAUUGAGUGCUUCUACUGCAAAGGGACUGAUCACUGGAAGCGGAACUGCCCCAAGUAUUUGGUGGAUAAGAAGGAUGGCAAAGUGAACAAAGGUAUAUUUGAUAUACAUGUUAUUAAUGUGUACCUUACUAAUGCUCGUAGUAGCGCCUGGGUAUUUGAUACUGGUUCGGUUGCUCAUAUUUGUAACUCGAAACAGGGGCUAUGGAUUAAACGAAGAUUGGCUAAGGACGAGGUGACGAUGCGCGUCGGGAAUGGUUCCAAGGUCGAUGUGAUCGUCGUCGGCACGCUACCUCUACAUCUACCUUCGGGAUUAGUUUUAGACUUGAAUAAUUGUUAUUUGGUGCCAGCAUUGAGCAUGAACAUUAUAUCUGGAUCUUGUUUAAUGCGAGACGGUUAUUUAUUUAAAUCAGAGAAUAAUGGUUUUUCUAUUUAUAAGAGUAAUAUCUUUUAUGGUCAUGCACCCUUGAAGAGUGGUCUAUUUUUAUUGAAUCUCGAUUGUGGUGAUACACAUAUUCAUAAUAUUAAUGCCAAAAUAUGUAAAGUUGAUAAUGAUAGUGCAACAUAUUUGCCGCACUGCCAUUUAGGUCAUAUUGGUGUAAAGCGCGUGAAGAAACUCCAUGCAGAUGGGCUUUUGGAAUCACUUGAUUAUGAAUCAUUUGAUACUUGCGAACCAUGACUCAUGGGCUAGAUGACUAAAAUCCGUUCUCAGGAACAAUGGAGCAAGCUACUGACUUAUUGGAAAUAAUACAUACUGAUGUAUGUGGUCUGAUGAGUGUUGAGGCUCGCGGCGGGUAUCGUUAUUUUUUGACCUUCAAAUAUGAUUUAAGCAGAUAUGGGCAUAUCUACUUAAUGAAACACAAUUCUGGAACAUUUCAAAAGUUCAAAGAAUUUCAGAGUGAAGUGGAGCAUCAUUGUAAAAAGAAAAUAAAGUUUCUACGAUCUGAUCACGGAGGCUAAUAUUUGAGUUACGAGUUUGGCCUUCAUUUAAAACAAUGUGGAAUUGUUUCACAACUCACACCACCUGGAACACCACGGCGUAAUGGUGUGUCCAAACGUCAUAACCAUACUCUAUUGGAUAUGGUGCGUUCUAUGAUGUCUCUUACCGAUUUGCCUUUAUCAUUUUGGGGUUAUGCAUUAGAGACAGCUGCGCAUUCAUGUUAAAUAGGGCACCAUCUAAAUCCGUUGAGACGACACCGUAUGAACUGUGGUUUGGCAAGAAACCUAAGUUGUCAUUUCUUAAAGUUUGGGGUUGCGAUGCUUAUGUGAAAAAGCUUCAGCCUGAUAAGCUCGAACCCAAACCGGAGAAGUGCGUCUUCAUAGGAUACCCAAAAGAAACUGUUGGGUACACCUUCUACCACAGCUCCGAAGGCAAGAUCUUUGUUGCUAAGAAUGGAUCCUUUCUAGAGAAGGAGUUUCUCUCGAAAGAAGUGAGUGGGAGGAAAGUAUAACUUGAUGAGGUAAUUGUACCUUCUCUCGAAUUGGAGAGUAGCUCAUCACAGAAAACUGUCCCUGUGAUGCCCACACCAAAUAGAGAGGAAGCUAAUUAUCGGUGUCAAAACCGGCGGAUCUCGGGUAGGGGGUCCCGAACUGUGCGUCUAGGCCGGAUGGUAAUAGGAGGCAAGGGACACGAAGUUUUACCCAGGUUCGGGCCCUCUCGAUGGAGGUAAAACCCUACGUCCUGCUUGAUUAAUAUUGAUGAUAUGGGUAGUACAAGAGUAGAUCUACCACGAGAUCAGAGAGGCUAAACCCUAGAAGCUAGCCUAUGGUAUGAUUGUUGAUGUGUAUAUGUCGUCUUAGGGACUAAAACCCUCCGGUUUAUAUAGACACUGGAGAGGGUUAGGGUUACAUAGAGUCAGUUACAAUGGUAGGAGAUCUGAACAUCCGUAUCGCCAAGCUUGUCUUCCACGCCAAGGAAAGUCCCUUCCGGACACGGGACAGAGUCUUCAAUCUUGUAUCUUCAUAGUCCAGGAGUCCGGCUGAAGGUAUAGUUCGGCUAUCCGAACACCUCCUAAUCCAGGACUCCCUCAGUAGCCCCUGAACCAGGCUUCAAUGACGAUGAGUCCGGCGCGCAAAUUGUCUUCGGCAUUGCAAGGCGGGUUCCUCCUCCAAGUACUUCAUAGAAGAUUUUAAACACAAAGAUAGUGUCCGGUUCUCAGCGCAUCAUGCGAGGCGGUUUCCUUGGCACGUCUUGUCCAAGCAGAGAUCGUGCCCCCUUAUUCCGGGAUUCUCAUCAAUACGGGCGUGGGUAACCCAACCGCUUCCAGGACUCCUAGAUCAUAGGCAAGUCCAAACGGACACGGGGAGGACGCUCGAUAUCCACCCUCUUUAUAAAGGGACGAGGCCUUUUAUUUUUCCCUCCCGUGCUCAAUUGAAUCCUUCCCCCACCUCAAGCUCAAACGCCCAAAGUUCAGGUCAGGUGCUCCGAACCUUCAGUCAUGUCCGGAUCUAGCCUUCAAGGCCGAUGGGUGCCUUCUUCCGUCAUGGAAGAAGACGUCAAAAAGUUGAGGGAGGCCAGAUAUCUGACCGCCGAGAUUCUGCAUCGGCUGCCUCCCCGGGGGCAGGCCGUCUCCUCCCCCGAACCCAACGAGAGCGUUGUGUUCGUCUCCCACUUCCUCUGAGGUCUAGGCCUUGCAUUGGAUCCUUUUGUUAGGGGCUUGAUGUUUUACUACGGGCUAGAUUUCCAUGAUCUAGCUCCGGACUCCUUUCUUCAUAUCACGACAUUUAUUGUUGUGUGCGAGGCCUUCCUCCGGGUUACCCCUCACUUUGGCCUAUGGCUCAAGACCUUUGAAGUAAAACCGAAGAUGAUCGAGGGGCAACAUGCGGAGUGUGGAGGUGCCUCAAUACGCAAGAUGACGGGAGCUGCAUGGCCCAAAGGUUCCAUUCCAGAGGUGUCUGAAUUGUGGCAACAGGAGUGGUUCUACAUCACGGCUCCUAGAAGUGCCAAGUGGGAGGCCGCCCCUAUCUUCCGCCCGGGCCCUCCACCACAAUUGAUGUCAUGGAUUAGCAGAGGAUUGAGCUGGGUCCAGCCAAGGACGUGCCUAUACUGCCAAGCCGCAUUCAAGAUCUCUUUAAUGGAGAUUUCAGUUUGGCUGCGGUAGCACAAGUUAUGCUGGUUCGCCAAGUCCAGCCUUGCAAACAUCGGCCUCUUUGCUUGUGGGAGUUUAAUCCCGAGGGACCGCGCGCCAUUCAAAAUUUCCUCGGCCUGACGCACGAGGAGAUGUACAAGUCAUUCUUCGGACCUCAAGUGGAGUGUCCGGAAAUCACCGAGGACGCGCGCCUGAGUAGCAACCGCGCUGCCGAACAGGUAAGGCAUCUUCCGACCGAGCGUACUACCUCUCCUUUGAUGCGAAGUUAUUUCUGAGAGUCCGCUUUUUGACCAGGACUGGCUAACGAAGGCGAAGUUGAUUCGGUGCUUGGCCCCCCUCCCUGAGGGUUUGGAAAAUCCGAUAUUGGAAAAGAUGCUCCAGGCCGUACCUUGCCCGGAGCCCUUGAAGGAAAAUGCGGGCGGUCGUGGGCCCCCAACGCUGGCCGCUCUAGCCGAGGGAGCGAGCGUCUCCAUGAAGGAAGAUGAUCAGAAGAGGAAAAGGAUUGCGUCUUGGGAUUCGGAAGCCGAAGCUUCCAAACGGGAGAAGAAGUCUCCCACAGAGGGUCCUACCUCGGGGGGUGCGGUUNNNNNNNNNNNNNNNNNNNNNNNNNNNNNNNNNNNNNNNNNNNNNNNNNNNNNNNNNNNNNNNNNNNNNNNNNNNNNNNNNNNNNNNNNNNNNNNNNNNNNNNNNNNNNNNNNNNNNNNNNNNNNNNNNNNNNNNNNNNNNNNNNNNNNNNNNNNNNNNNNNNNNNNNNNNNNNNNNNNNNNNNNNNNNNNNNNNNNNNNNNNNNNNNNNNNNNNNNNNNNNNNNNNNNNNNNNNNNNNNNNNNNNNNNNNNNNNNNNNNNNNNNNNNNNNNNNNNNNNNNNNNNNNNNNNNNNNNNNNNNNNNNNNNNNNNNNNNNNNNNNNNNNNNNNNNNNNNNNNNGGAUCAAUUCUCCCACGAGUCGUAAGUGACCCAAAAUACCUUAAUAGUACAGAUAUGCCGUAUUUUCUUCCGAGAAAAUAACCACCGCAUAUAUCUUUGCAGUUCGGGCCUUAGCCCCUCUCAGAUGAGCUCGUCUUCGAGGGAUCUUCUUCCGGAGAUGAUGGAGAGCGAAAUGCCUCCUCCGGACUCCUCCGCUCCGGAAGCGGGCGAUCCUGAAGUGUCAUCGCGGAGGGCCUCUCCGGGUCCGGCGAGGCCAGAAGAUAAUUCCGUUGACCCCCGAAGCUUCCCGUGUCCGGCUCCCGAAGAGAGCAGGCAAACGAGUCCGGCACCAUCUAGUGUACGGUCAGAUGUUCUGAGGAAGUUGGUGGGGCGAGCGGCCAUCUCAGAUGAACACCGUGUGCUGAUGAAUACGGUGAUGGAGAGAAUCUCAUCCGCUGAAAGCGGAUUGCAUAAAGCUUUUAUGAGUCUACCAACAGGUUUUGAGGUACAUAAAAUAAUGUAUGAUAGUCCUACACAUGCUAAGUGUGCCUUGUGUAGAUAGUAGCCCCUGAGACUCUGGUUGUCAUUGGGAACGAUGACGAUCAGAGAAUCAUAAUCCCAGGUAGUAACCAUACCGCCUUUAUGAGCAGGUGAUGGAAGAUCCGGUGGCUAGCCGGACUAGCGAGUUUGCCCAUUUAAAACAGCAGUUGGAUGCGGCAGACGCCGACAUCGAGCUUGUUAACAAGAGGCUUGACGAGGCGCAGGGUAGGUGUUAUUAUCUGGUAAAUGCCGCAUAGUAAGAGCAGCAUGAAGCCAGUAUAUUUAACCUGUUAUGACUGCAGAUGGAGCUGCCACUGUUGAAGCCUUGUGGGCGGAACUUGCCCGAGCCAAGGAACAAGCGAGAUUGGGUAAUGCGGCUGCUUUGAAGGCGGCCGAAGAGUUGCGAGCCGAGAAGGCCGCGCAUGGCAAGAGCCGGGAUAAGAUGGCCAGUAUGGCCGUAGAAUUAAAAGCCGUCGUCGACCGUUGCUGGGUUCUUGAAAAGGAAAACCAGGCGAAGGCAUCGGACCUUGAGAAGGCUGCUGCAACGGGAAAAGACCUCCGCUCUGCAAUGAGGGCAAAGAAGGAGGAGCUGCGGGAAGCCGGGGAUAUUGUAGCCGGGAAAUCCUUUAUGCUGCAGAGGAAGUUCGGAGAUCCACGGUAUUCCCCUCUAGAUCGGCUGUGGAGUUCGGAAGAUGUGUAUAUGGAUUUGGCGGCGAGCGCUGCCGACGCGGCCAAGUACUUCCAGAGUUAGACGUACCGUGAAGUAGACCAGCUGUUUUGGAAACAAUUUCUUUCUCCCGAGCGUCCGCUUUUAUUGACGGACCAAUUAGCUGAAUGGGCCGAACUAAAUAGGUUGUCCGGACUCUCCAUGAGGUCUAUUGUGGAUCAGGUAUGCCGGAAAGGUCAAAACCGAGCAGCUAUUUCAGCUUGGUGCAGCAGUUCCUUGACGUGGUGCCGCGCAUAAAUGCGAUGAAGAGGUCGGCGUGCAUAGAAGGCGCAUGAAUGGCCUUUGCCCGUGCUAAAGCAUACUAGGCAGAGAUGGAUGCUACCACUGUUGCAGCACAGGAUUCGGCCAUAGGUCGAAGGGCUGCUGAGCACUACUUUGAGGAAGUUCUUGAGGGUGCUCGUUUGAUAGAGACCAAGUGCUCAAAAAAUAAUUAUGUUUGAUUGACAUGUAAUCUCAUUGUAAGCGAAAUGCUUUUAUAAAUUUUCAUAAGGCUACUUUUAUACUUUUGCCUGAAAGUAGUGUGAUGCCUCCUGGGCGGCCGUUUAUGUAUACAUGUGUAUAACCUGAAAGAUUGCAGUCGUCGGCUUCAACCCCCACGCAUAUAAUGCGGAGGUGUUCGCAGAAACACACGUUCACACUUAACCCAACGUCUUGGUCCUAUUAAGGAGGUGAUAGCGGAGCGAGCGAGGCAACCGGACUAUAACGCUUUAACACUUUCACUUAGCCAUAGGAGUUCGACAGUGGGGCUACUAGAUAGCCCCUGGUGGCUCCGCACUCUCCCGAUCCCGGGGUGCGUACAUGGCUGGCCGGAAAACGGCCCUUCGUUAAGGCGGAGGAAUUCUAACAUUCCCAUGGGUCAUCGAGUGGUUGACCAGUCUCACGCUAUAUCAUGACAGUCAGUUUUCGGCUUUCUCUACUGAGGUGCUCGUCCGGAUGAACCAGGGCACAACCGCAGUAGUUCUCCUGGUGCUACCUUAGCCGGUAAAGCAGAACGUAAGGCACCAAAACACAGGAGCCGGGCAAACCCAACAUUUGACCAAAGACAAUGAUUCGGAGAUGAUGCAUAUAGGGCCAAACUCGCGACGCCGAACACUCCCUAAGGUAUUCGGUCUUUGUGGUAUAAACCGGGCCUAAGUAAUGGCCUUUGUGAGAAGCCCCUUGUGUCCAGGUACGUGCAUUGUUCUAGCGUGGCCACAUGCCAAGACGUCAGCAUCCUUCUCAACGGUGGAUGUGUAUCAACAAGAGAUAGUAAAAAAGGUUUACGCAGGGUCUUAAUCUAAAAAGAAUCCUUGGAGCGGGUCCCUGCUGCACGUCUGCGCCUGUGUCUCUGUUGUGCCGUAUCCUGGACGGGUGUAGCACGAUGAUCGUCUGUAAAAGAGAGAAUUUAGGUGAAAAAGGUUUUCGUGCAAAAAGAUAGUUUUUUAAAGAAACCAUGUACUCCCUCCGUUCCUUAAUAUAAGGUGUAUAGUUUUUGGCACGGAAAUUAAAGAACGCAUGUGGAGGAAAAAUUUCACAAGUUCUGGGCGAGAUUACACCUAACUAAUUGACAUGAGAAAAUAGAGGAGCUAGCCUAAUAUAUGGAAAUGUAAUAAAUUCACUAAAAACAUUAUCCAGACGAGUGGUGCAUUGCAAUACACCUUAUAUUUCGGAUUUUUUCUCAAAAAUCUAUACACCUUAUAUCAAGGAACGGAGGGAGUAUAAUUCAAGAUGAGAAGAAAUUGCCACUUGUCUGCGCGCGUUGAGCCCCUUGUUUUGACAAAUAGGGGCGUGACCAUUUAUUCGGUAUAAGUAGCGGCGCCGGACUCGAUUAGUCGUGUCUGAGGUCUUGACGACCUAUUGGAUGCUUUUGCUAGUCCGGGCGCCUUUAGUGUGCGGCUACCAAGGCAGCCUCACUCUCUUCUGCGCGCAGAGAUCGCUUGAUAUUUCCGUGCACUGAAAUGACGCCACGUGGACCGGGCAUCUUGAGUGUGAGAGAGGCAUAGUGCGGUAUUGCAUUAAAGCGAGUGAAAGCGUCGCGUCCGAGCAGUGCUUGAUAGCCACUUUGAAACGGAGCGAUGUGGAAGGUUAAAUGCUCACGGUGGAAGUUAUCGGGGGAGCCGAAUAUAACUUGUAGUAGGAGGGAGCCCGUACAAUGAACCCCUGGGCCUGGCGUUACUCCUUUAAAGGUAGUAUUGCUAUGGCGAAUUUGUGUUGGGUCUAACCUCAUUCCGCGGAUUGUAUACUGGUAUAUUAGGUUUAGGCUGCUGCCACCGUCCAUCAAGACUCGUGUGAAGUGAUAUCCGCCAAUUACUGGGUCUAAUACCAGGGCAACCAUCCUGUGUGUCGGAUACUUGCUGAGUAAUCACGAUGGUCGAAAGUGAUCGGUUGAGAUGACCAGUGGCAUGACUUCGCGGUGAUAGGCACUUGGGUAUAUUUUCCUGGGAGUGCCGCAUUGUUUUUUCCCUUGAUCACGUGUAACAUGUUUACUGUUUUGGCUUCUGGUGGAAAUUUCUUUUGUUCCCCCGUGUCUUGCUUGGGGGGCUCGUCCUUUGGGUGCGAACCCUCGCCUGGGUCGCAUGUUGUAUUGUGAGCGGCAUUGUAUGCCGCUCUGUGUUGGUAGAGGGGUCGUGUAUCCAACCAGGUGGUUGCUUUCAUAUUUGGUUGUGGGGGGUCUGCGGCCUCCUCAUCGAAUUCGGGUAGCAGCUUCCGCUUUGGGUAGCUCUUGGAGGGGCGAUUAUCGCCGUACCUUGCUGCAGUGUUGAGUAUUUUGCUCCAUCUAAAUUGGAGUGUGUCUUGCGCGGCCUUGAGCCUUCGCUUCUGCUUUUUAAGGCUCCUCGCGGUGGCAACAAGCCUUUUACGGGCGUUCUACUGCUCCGGGUGCCUGUCGGGCGUUAUGUCGUCCGGACCAUUAUCCUUGAUAGGAUUUGUUUGUUCGGUUUAAUUAUCCGGAUUGCCGUUGUUCGGUUCGCCCUGCUCCAGCGCUGGGUCUGUGUAAUCGCUAUUUCUGUCGAGGCGGGAUUUGGGGCGGCGCUUGCGUCGCUGCUUUGACUGCUUUUCGAGGGAACAAUCCUUCGGUGCGUCCUUCCGCUCUUCAUCGUCAUCUUUUGGUGCGUCCACCAUGUAUACGUCGUAUGACGAGGUGGCGUUCCAGGGCUCAAUAGGCGCUGGUUCUUCAUCGUCUCCUUCAUUGGCGUCCAUACCGUCAAUGUCGUCGGAGUCGAAGUCGAGCAUGUGGGUUAAGUCGUCGACAAUGGCUACGAAGUGGGUGGUGGGUGGGUUUUGAAUUUCUUCAUCGUCCGUACCCCAACCUUGCUGACCGUAGUCUGGCCAGGGCUCUCUUGAUAAAGAGAGAGACUUCAGUGACUUCAGGAUAUCGCCGAAAGGCGAGUGCUGAAAGACGUCCGCGGCUGUGAACUCCAUGAUCGGCGCCCAAUCGGAUUCGAUCGGCAGGGGCGCGGAGGGUUCGGAGUCCGGAGAAGAAUCCGUCUCCAUGGAGUCACGAGUCUUGCAGAGUACAGGGCUGGUGUUUGGCUCAACCGCCGUUGGGAUUACAGCCCCCGAGGUGGCGUCCAACCGCCCAUCCUCGAUCGGCGCGGUUGGCUCCGAACUAAGGGUCGGAGCCGAUGCGGGUGCGGCCUCCAGGGCACUGUUCGGCGGCAGAGCUAGAUCGUGCUCAUCGUGACAGUGAGGCGCGCUCGGUAGUGGUUCGAAUCCGUCGAAGAUCAAGUCUCCGCGGAUGUCAGCCGUGUAGUUUAAACUUCCGAAUCUGACCUGACGGCCAGGGUCGUAGCUUUCGAUCUGCUCUAAAUGGCCAAGCGAAUUGGCCCGCAGUGCGAAGCCGCCAAAGACGAAGAUCUGUCCGGGGAGGAAGGUCUCACCCUGGACUGCAUCACUAUUGGUGAUCGUAGGAGCCAUUGGGCCUGACGGUGACGGCACAAAGGAACUCUCAAUGAAAGCACCAAUGUCGGUGUCAAAACUAGCGGAUCUCGGGUAGGGGGUCCCGAACUGUGCGUCUAGGCCGGAUGGUAACAGGAGGCAAGGGACACGAAGUUUUACCCAGGUUCGGGCCCUCUCAAUGGAGGUAAAACCCUACGUCCUGCUUGAUUAAUAUUGAUGAUAUGGGUAGUACAAGAGUAGAUCUACCACAAGAUCAGAGAGGCUAAACCCUAGAAGCUAGCCUAUGGUAUGAUUGUUGAUGUGUAUAUGUCGUCCUAGGGACUAAAACCCUCCGGUUUAUAUAGACACCGGAGAGGGUUAGGGUUACAUAGAGUCGGUUACAAUGGUAGGAGAUCUGAACAUCCGUAUCGCCAAGCUUGCCUUCCACGCCAAGGAAAGUCCCUUCCGGACACGGGACGGAGUCUUCAAUCUUGUAUCUUCAUAGUCCAGGAGUCCGGCUGAAGGUAUAGUUCGGCUAUCCGAACACCCCCUAAUCCAGGACUCACUCACUAAUAAUGAUGAUCAUGAAACUUCAGAUCAAGUCACUACCGAACCUUGUAGGUCAACCAGAGCAUGUUCCGCACCAGAAUGGUACGGUAACCCUAUUCUGGAAGUCAUGUUACUAGACCAUGACGAACCUACGAACUAUGAAGAAACUAUGAUGGGCCCAGAUUCCGAUAAAUGGCUUGAGGCCAUGAAAUCUGAGAUAGGAGACAUGUAUGAGAACAAAGUGUGGACUUUGGUUGACUUGCCCGAUGAUCGGCGGGCCAUACAGAAUAAAUGGAUCUUCGAGAAGAAGACUGACGCUGAUGGUAAUGUUACUGUCUACAAAUCUUGACUUGUCGCAAAAGGUUUUCGACAAGUUCAAGGAGUUGACUACGAUGAGACUUUCUCACCCAUAGCGAUGCUUAAGUCUGUCCGAAUCAAGUUAGAAAUUGCCGCAUUUUAUGAUUAUGAAAUGUGGCAAAUGGACGUCAAAACUGCAUUCCUUAACGGACUUCUUAAAGAAGAGUUGUAUAUGAUGCAACCAGAAGGUUUUGUCGAUCCUAAAUGUGCUAACAAAGUGUGCAAGCUCCAGCGAUCCAUCUAUGGACUGGUGCAAGCAUCUCGGAGUUGGAAUAUACGCUUUGAUGAGGUGAUCAAAGCAUAUGGUUUUAUACAGACUUUUGGUGAAGCCUGUAUUUACAAGAAAGUGAGUGGGAGCUCUAUAGCAUUUCUAAUAUUAUACGUGGAUGACAUAUUGUUGAUUGGAAAUGAUGUAGAAUUUAUGGAUAGCAUAAAAGGAUACUUGAAUAAAAGUUUUUCAAUGAAAGACCUCGGUGAAGAUACUUUUAUAUUGGGCAUCAAGAUCUAUAGAGAUAGAUCAGGACGCUUAAUUGGACUUUCACAAAGCACAUACCUUGAUAAAGUUUUGAAGAAGAUCAAAAUGGGUCAGUCAAAGAAAGUGUUCUUGCCUGUGUUAUGAGGUGUGAAGUUGAGUCAGACUCAAUGCUCGACCACUGCAGAAGAUAGAGAGAAAAUGAAAGUCAUUCCCUAUGCCUCAGCCAUAGGUUCCAUCAUGUAUGUUGUGCUGUGUACCAGACCUAAUGUGUGCCUUGCUAUAAGUUUAGCAGGGAGGUACCAAAGUAAUCCAGCAGUGGAUCACUAGACAACGGUCAAGAACAUCCUGAAGUACCUGAAAAGGACUAAGUAUAUGUUUCUCGUUUAUGGAGGUGACAAAGAGUUCAUCAUAAAUGGCUACGUUGAUGCUAGCUUUGACACUGAUCUGGAUGACUCUAAGUCACCAACCGGAUAUGUAUUUAUAUUGAAUGGUGGAGUUGUCAGUUGGUGCAGUUCCAAGCAGAGCGUCGUGGCGGGAUCUACGUGUGAAGCGGAGUACAUAGCUGCUUCAGAAGCAGCAAAUGGAGGAGUUUGGAUGAAGGAGUUCAUAUCCGAUCUAGGUGUAAUACCUAGUGCAUCGGGUCCAAUGAAAAUAUUUUGUGACAAUACUGGAGAAAUUGCCUUGGCGAAGGAAUCCAGAUUUUACAAAAGAACCAAACUGUAGGAUCAAAAGUAUAUCUAGAGGGUGGGGGUGAUUAGACUACUUGACCAAAUCAAAAUCUAGCAUUUUCCCAGUUUUAAGUCUUGGCAGAUUUUAGCAGCUUAUCACAAGUCAAGCAAUCAACCUACACAUGCAAUUCUAAGAGCAUAGCAGCAGAGUGUAAAUCACUGCAUAUGAAGGUAAACGGAGGAGUUUGAGGGAGCAAACAAAAUGUAGACACGGAGAUUUUUGGCAUUGUUCCAAUAGAUGGUGCUAUCAUACAUCCACGUUGAUGGAGACUUCAACCCACGAAGGGUAACAGUUGCGCGAGUCCACGGAGGGCUCCACCCACGAAGGGUCCAUGGAGAAGCAACCUUGUCUAUCCCACCAUGGCCAUCACCCACGAAGGACUUGCCUCGCUUGGGUAGAUCUUCACGAAGUAGGCAAUCUCCUUGCCCUUACAAACUCCUUGGUUCAACUCCCCAAUCUCGACGGAGGCUCCCAAGUGACACCUAACCAAUCUAGGAGACACCACUCUCCAAAAGGUAAUAGAUGGUGUGUUGAUGAUGAACUCCUUGCUCUUGUGCUUCAAAUGAUAGUCUUCCCAACACUCAACUCUCUCUCACAGAUUUGGAUAUGGUGGAAGGAUGAUUUGAGUGGAAAGCAACUUGGGGAAGGCAAGAGAUCGAGAUUCUUGUGAUUGGAAUGGAAUGUCUUGGUCUCAACACAUGACUAGGUGGUUCUCUCUCAGAAAAUGAGUAGUAGAAGUGUAAGCACGUUCUGAUGGCUCUCUCCUUGGAUGGAGGAUGGGUGGAGGGGUAUAUAUAGCAUCCACACAAAAUCUAACCGUUACACACAAUUUACCAAACUUGGUGGGGCCGAAUAGUGAAACUCAGUCAGACCGAUUUAGUUGAAAAUGUGAACGUUGGGAUUUUCGAUGGGACCGACAUGAUCAACUCGGUGGGACCGAUUGAGUUAGGAUUAGGUCAUAACUUAAUCUCGGUGAGACCGAUCACAUGACCUCGGUGAGACCGAUUUCAGUAAUAGGCAAACAGAGAGUUGGUCAGGCAAACUCGGUGGGACCGAUCACUCAUUUCAGUGAGACGAAAACAUUACGAAAAGGAAAUAGAGAGUUUGCAUUGCAAACUCGGUGGGACCGAUCACUCAUCUCGGUUAUACCGAAACAUUAUGAAGGGAAAUAGAGAGCUUGCAAUCCCAUCUUGGUGAGACCAAACUGAUUAGGGUUUCUGGCUAUGGCUAUGUCAAGUGAACUCGGUGGCGCCGGAUAGAUCAAAUCAGUUGGGCCGAGUUCGACUUUUGGUUUGGGACAAAUAUGGAAAUGAGAAAGUGGUUGAGGGCUUUUGGAGCAUAUCACUAAGCAUUUUGAGCAAGCAAGCCAUUAAGCAACACCUCAUCUCCUUUUAAUAGUAUUGGCUUUUCCUAUGGACUCAAUGUGAUCUUGGAUCACUAAAAUGAAAAUGUAGAGUCUUGAGCUUGUGCCAAUAUGUGUCCUUAGCAUUUUGAGGGGUCCACAUCUCUAGUCAUGCCAUGCCAAUCAUUGAACUUUAUGAAAAUAUUAUCUUGAAUGGAUAUUAGUUCAGUGAGCUAUAUGUUGUUAAUAAUUACCAAAACCACCCAGGGAUUAGUUGCACUUUCAAUCUCCCCCUUUUUGGUAAUUGAUGACAACAUAUAGAUCAAAGCUUCGUCAAAUGAUAAAAUGAAUGAAAUACAUUGUCGCUUUGAGAAGUAUGUGAUAAGAAAGAGCUUCCCCUAAAUUUUUGCAUUAUUUAAAAUUUGCUUGUGAAUGCAAAUGCACAAUCGAUUAGGAUCAUGAGUUACUCUUCCAUGUCACAUACAUCUUGGUGGAGCGCUCAAAAUGAUAGAAUAUGAAAUAUACACUCAUCACCAAGACAAAGUGAAUGAUCAUACAUGAGAGAUAGAUAAUACCAUCAUCCAAGCACAAACAUUGAAGUAUGAUAUGAUCAAGAACAUGACCAUACAAGUAUCUCACACACACAACCAUAUAGUAUCAUCCAAGCAAGCAAACAAAUAAGUAUCAAACAAGUAGAAAAAGAGAUAGCAAAAAGAAGCAAAGCUCUCUCUCUUUCUCGAACCCUAUGAUCUAUACACUUUCUCCCCCUUUGGCAACAAGUUACCAAAAAGCUUGAAAAUUCAUAGUGCUAUGUGGCUCUCUAAGAUUGAUCUUCGGGAGGUGGCAUGGAGAGGAUUCCUACGACAAAUGCAUCUGUAGAGGUAGUAGGAGCUAGUGGAGUUGCAACCAGAGGGGCAACUGAAGCUGUGGCUGCAGGAGCUGAAGUUGUCGCUCUAGUAUCUGUCACUGGCACUGCUGCAGACCUGUGCCUCCUGGGAACCCUUUGAUAUGCAUCAGUGGUGGUCUUGUCACUCCUAUCCUCAAUCUCUUCUUGGAUCUUCUCUACUGAAGUCUGAAUCUCAAUCACUUUGACAUCCAAGUCAUGAAGUUUUGUCUCGAAAAUUCUUUGAAGACUCUCUUGAUUUUGAGUCAGGUUGGCCAAACCUUUCUCAAUCCUCAAAGUGGCUUGAAUAAGAUAACCUAGUUGGUCUUGUUUUGACUUGAGAAAAACUUGUGAAGCUUCUUCCGCACUUGGCAUCUUGGCUGCCUUCUCUUCUUUUGCUUUUGCUCUCUUCUCUUGAGCCUCUACUAAAGUAGGUUUUGUAGUAUCCAUGACAAUUGUGUUAUACUCAAAGUCAGGCCUCAAGGGAAGAUGCUCUUUGUCCAACAGAUAUAUGUCUUUGCCCAUCUUUGAGUUGAUGAGCAUCUGAAUGUGUGGAGCAUACCCACAUGAUCUCUUCUGAUCAGCAGCAGUCCUCUUGAUUGUCUCUAUAAUCAGUGUCAUCACCUUGAACUUUUAUGGCACAUCAAACAUAUGCAGCAAGUUUAUAGAAUGGCCUCUGAUCAUCCUAUGAUCUCCAGACUUGGGCAACAAUAUGUGCCUAAGGAUGGUAUUGAUUGUGGGCAGUCCUGACAGAAGAUAGUAGACAGAGCCAAACUUGUGAUGUUCCAAAGCUGCAUCUGGAAUCUCUUUGUACAUAUGUGACAUGGAGUUGUGUCCCUUCCUUAGCUUGGCAUACACAUCAGUGUCAUCAUCAUGCUCUUUAGGGGCAUUGAUCAGCUUGGACAACUCAACAACAGUUGACCGGUACCUUGUACCUUCAGACAUCCAAACAAUUCUUCCAUCUGGAUAAAAAUGAGUUGUUGAAUAGAAUUGCAUAAUGAGCUCAUCAUUCCACUUGGUCAAUUUUUGACCCACAAAGGCACAAACUCCAUUCAUCCUAAAGCUCUCAUGAACUCCAGGGAAGUGGUCUUCAUGUUGUCUGAUAACCCACAAGUAUAGGGGAUCGCAACAGUUUUCGAGGGUAGAGUAUUCAACCCAAAUUUAUAGAUUCGACACAAGGGGAGCCAAAGAAUAUUUGAAGGUAUGAGCAGCUGAGUUGUCAAUUCAACCACACCUGGAGAUUAAUUAUUGUAGCAAAGUGAUCAGUAGCAAAGUAGUUUGAUAGUUUUGAUAAUAGUGACAGCAGCAACGGUAACAGUAACAGUGAUAGCAGUAAUUUGUAGCAAGUGUAACAGUGAUGAUAGCAAUACUAACAUAGCAAGAUCAAUAAGGAUAAAUUCGUAGGCAUUAGAUCGGUGACUUGUUGGAUGAUAUUCAUCAUGUGACAGUUAUAACCUAGGGCGAUACUACACUAGCUGCACUUCAUCGAUAUAAUGUAGGCAUGUAUUCCGUAAAUAGUCAUACGUGCUUUAUUAAAAGAACUUGCAUGACAUCUUUUGUCCUACCCUCCCGUGGUAGCGGGGUCCAUAUUGCAAAACUAAGGGAUAUUAAGGCCUCCUUUUAAUAGAGAACAGGAACAAAGCAUUAAAACAUAGUAACUACGGUCAUCACCGGGAGUGGGCCUGGUUGUUGUCACUCCGGGGUUGCCGGAUCAUAACCAUAGUAGGUGACUAUAACUUGAAAUAUCGGAUCCAAAACAUGGAUAUAAUGAUGAAUUCAUAAAUGGUUCAGAUCUGAAAUCAUGGCACCCGGGCCCAAAGUGACAAGCAUUAAGCAUGGCAAAGUCAUAACAACAUCAAUCUAAGAACAUAGUGGAUACUAGGGAUCAAGCCCUAACAAAACUAACUCGAUUACACGAUGAAUCAUAUCCAACUCCUCACUGACCAGCGAGUCUAUGAAGGAAUUACUCACUCCCGGUGGGGAGCAUCAUGGAAUUGGCAAUGGAGAAGGGUUGGUGAUGAUGAAUGAUACGUCUCCAACGUAUCUAUAAUUUUUGAUUGUUCCAUGCUAUUAUAUUAUCUGUUAUGGAUGUUUAAUGGGCUUUAACAUACCUUUUUAUAUUAUUUUUGGGACUAACCUACUAACCAAAGGCCCAGUGCAAAUUGCUGUUUUUUUUGCUUAUUUCAGUGUUUCGUAGAAAAGGAAUACCAAAUGGAAUCCAAACGGAAUGAAACCUUCGGGAGAGUUAUUUUUGGAACAAACGCAAUCCAGGAGACUUGGAGUGGACAUCAAGGAAGCAACAAGGCGGCCAUGAGGCAGGAGGGUGCACCGAGGGGGGGGGGGGUAGGCGCGCCCCCACCCUCGUGGCUCCGCUGACCUACUUCUUUCGCCUAUAUAUACUCAUAUACCCCAAAAACAUCCGAGAGCACCACGAAACCCUAUUUCCACCGCCGCAACCUUCCGUACCCGCGAGAUCCCAUCUUGGGGCCUUUUCCGGUGCUCCGCUGGAGGGGGAAUCGAUCAUGGAGGGCUUCUACAUCAACACCAUAGCCUCUCCGAUGAUGUGUGAGUAGUUUACCACAGACCCUCGGGUCCAUAGUUAUUAGCUAGAUGGCUUCUUCUCUCUCUUUGGAUCUUAAUACAAAGUUCUCCUCGAUUCUCUUGGAGAUCUAUUUGAUGUAAUUCUUUUUGCGGUGUGUUUAUCAAGAUCCGAUGAAUUGUGGGUUUAUGAUCAAGAUUAUCUAUGAACAAUAUUUGAUUCUUCUCUGAAUUCUUUUAUGCAUGAUCUAAUAUCUUUGCAAGUCUCUUCGAAUUAUCAGUUUGGUUUGGCCUACUAGAUUGAUCUUUCUUGCAAUGGGAGAAGUGCUUAGCUUUGGGUUCAAUCUUGCGGUGUCCUUUCCCAGUGACAGAAGGGGCAGCAAGGCACGUAUUGUAUUGUUGCCAUCGAGGAUAAAAAGAUGGGGUUUAUAUCAUAUUGCUUGAGUUUAUCCCUCUACAUCAUGUCAUCUUGCCAAACACGUUACUCUGUUCUUAUGAACUUAAUACUCUAGAUGCACGUUGGAUAGCGGUCGAUGUGUGGAGUAAUAGUAGUAGAUGCAUAAUCAUUUCGGUCUACUUGUCGUGGACGUGAUGCCUAUAUACAUGAUCAUGCCUAGAUAUUCUCUUAACUAUGCGCUUUUCUAUCAUUUGCUCGACAGUAAUUUGUUCACCCACCAGAGAAUUUGCUAUCUUGAGAGAAGUCACUAGUGAAACCUAUGGCCCCGGGUCUAUCUUCCAUCAUAUUAUUUUCCUAUUUACUUGCUAUUUCUAUCGUUGUUUAUUUUGCAAUCUUUAUUUUCCAAUCUAUACAAUAAAAAUACAAAAAAUAUUUAUCUUAUUAUCUCUAUCAGAUCUCACUUUCGUAAGUGACCGUGAAGGGAUUGACAACCCCUUUAUCGCGUCGGUUGCGAGGUUCUUGUUUGUUUGUGCAGGUAAUAGGGACUUGUGUGUUACCUCCUACUGGAUUGAUACCUUGGUUCCCAAAAACCGAGGGAAAUACUUACGCUACUUUACUGCAUAACCCUUUCCUCUUCAAGGGAAAACCAACGCAUGCUCAAGAGGUAGCAAGAAGUAUUUCUGGCGCCGUUGCCGGGGAGGUUGCACCAAGUCAAGUCAAGAUUUGAUCUCCUGUCAACAAGCCAUUUCUGGCGCCGUUGAUGGGGAGAUCUACGCACAAGUCAAGACAUACCAAGUACCCAUCACAAACUCUUAUCCCUCACAUUACAUUAUUUGCCAUUUGCCUCUCGUUUUCCACUUCCCCACUUCACCCUUGUUGUUUUAUUCGCCCUCUUUUCCAUUCGCCCUCUUUUCCGUUUGCCUCUUUUUGCUUGCUUCUUGUGUGCUUGUGUGUUGGAUUGUUUGUCACGAUGUCUCAAGACAAUACUAAAUUGUGUGACUUUUCCAAUACGAACAAUAAUGAUUUUCUUAGCUCUCCGAUUUCUCCUCUUACCGAUGUUGAAUCUUGUGAAAUUAAUACUGCUUUGCUGAACCUUGUUAUGAAAGAUCCGUUUUCUGGCCUUCCUAGUGAAGAUGCCGCUACCCAUCAAAACAACUUUGUUAAUUUGUGUGAUAUGCAAAAGAAGAAAGAUGUGGAUAAUGAUAUUUCUAAAUUGAAGCUAUUUCCGUUUUCGCUUAGAGAUCGUGCUAAAAAAGAUUGCUUUAUAAAAGCAUGUUCUUCUAGUUUUCACGAUAAUAAGGACAAAGAUCUGAAACUGAUUGAUGUGUCUCCUAUUAAAUCUUUGUUUUGCAAUAUGAAUCUUGAUAAUGAUGGGACUGGAGAUGAGUCAACUUUAGUUAAAAGGCGUCCCAAUGAUUCUGAGUUUUUAGAUCUUGAUGCAAAAAUUGGUAAAAGUGGGAUUGAAGAGGUCAAAACUUUACAUAGAAAUAAACCCACUAUUUUGGAUUUCAAGGAAUUUAAUUAUGAUAAUUUCUCUUUGAUAGAUUGUAUUUCCUUGUUGCAAUCCGUGCUAAAUUCUCCUCAUGCUUAUGAUCAAAAUAAAGCUUUUACCAAACAUAUCGUUGAUGCUUUAAUGCAAUCUUAUGAAUAAAAGCUUGAAUUAGAAGUUUCUAUCCCUAGAAAACUUUAUGAUGAUUGGGAACCUACUAUUAAAAUUAAAAUUAAAGAUCAUGAAUGCUAUGCUUUAUGUGAUUUAGGUGCUAGUGUUUCCACGAUUCCAAAAACUUUGUGUGAUGUGUUAGGUUUCCGUGAAUUUGAUGAUUGUUCUUUAAAUUUGAUCUUGCGGAUUCCACUAUUAAGAAACCUAUGGGAAGGAUUAAUGAUGUUCUUAUUGUAGCAAAUAGGAAUAUAUGCCCAUAGAUUUCAUUGUUCUUGAUAUAGAUUGCAAUCCUGAUACGUCUCCAAUGUAUCUAUAAUUUUUGAUUGCUCCAUGCUAUAUUAUCUACUGUUUUGAAUGUUUAUGGGCUUUAUUAUACACUUUUAUAUCACUUUUGGGACUAAACUACUAACCCAGAGCCCAGUGCCAGUUUCUGUUUUUACCCUGUUUUAGGGUUUCGAAGAAAAGGAAAAUCAAACGGAGUCCAAUUGACCUGAAACUUCACAGAACUCAUUUUUGGAAGGAAAGAAGCCCAGAAGACUUGGAGUGCACGUCGGGGGAUCUGCGAGGAGGUCACGAGGUAGGGGGGCGCGCCCACCCCCUAGGCGCGCCCUCCACCCUCGUGAGCCCCUCAUGGCCCCUUGACGUACUUCUUAUGCCUAUAUAUCUCCAUAUACCCUAAAAACAUCUGUGAACACAUAGAUCGGGAGUUCCGUCGCCAGAAGCCUCCGUAGCCACCAAAAGCCAAUCUAGACCUGUUCCGGCACCCUGCCGGAGGGGUAAUCCUUCUCCGGUGGUGUAAGUGCAUCUAGUGCCACCCCUAGUUGGUUUUGGAGUAUUGACGACAAACCUAGUUGAGGGACUAAUGUGUUUGUGAGAAUUGCAGGAUAACACAGGUAGAAGUCCCUCAUUGAUUCAGUUUUCCUACCAGAGACGACCCCUAAAAAUGAAUGAAGACAUUGAAGUCAAAGGUGGUAUGUGAAGACAUUCACAUUGAAGACUAUGACAAGAGAAGACAUCGCAUGAAGACUAUGGAGCGCGAAGACUUAGUUGUUUCGUCGUUCUUUUUCUUCUUUGUUGAGUCAUAGGAACCACCGUACUGUUAAGUGGGGUCCAAGUGAACCAGUCAGAAUGACUGAAGUGAUGCUUAACCAAAAUCCUAUGUCUUCGAGUGAAGACUAUGAGAGCAAAUCUUGUCCAGAGUUGGAUAAGUCAGCUUUUCUUGUAGCCCAAGUACAGUUGACGUGUGUGUUUGAAAUCUGACCGUUGGAACAUGUGUCAGUUCCUUAGUGACCAAGGGUCAUUUCAGACAAAUCAGGUCGGGUUGCCUAGUGGCUAUAAAUAGCCCACCCCUACAACCAUAAACGGUUGGCUGCUCAGAGUUAGAGUACGGCUUUUGUUGUUUGAGAGGAACCCACCUCGAAGCCUUUGAGAGAGAAUUCCUUGCGAGGAUAAAGCCCUAAACACCCAGAGCCAAAGAGUGUUAGGCAUCACUUAAGUCUUCCUGUCUGUGUGAUCUGAAGACUUAUUACACUUGAGGACUGUGAAUCCUCCAGCCGGUUAGGCAUCGCGUUCUGAGCAUCCAAGAGUCAUUGUGGGUCGCCAGUGAACAAAGUCUGUGAAGGUUUGGAAGUCUACCUUGAAGACUUACCAAAGUGAUUGGGCAAGGACUGGGUGUCCUUAGAUCAAGGGGAAUAAGGUGAAGACGAGGUCUUCUGAGUUGAAUCUUAGCCUCCCUAACCAGACGUACAGUUGUCACAGCAACUGGAACUGGUCCAACAAAUCAUUGUCUUCAACGAGUCACUGGUUUCAUGCUUCCCUUCCCCUUGCCUACUGUUGGUCCUUGUGAAGUCAUUCUAUGAUUGCAUUAUCUUUUGUCUUCACUAAGUGACUACUUGUUCUGAUUGGCUUCACAAUAUCUUCCUACCUGAUCUUUACUGCCUAGUUGCUAUUAGUCAUUGUGCUUUCACUUUGUUGAAUACUUGACUAUGGUUUGCCUAGUGUAGUCUACCUUCCGCUGCAUGGUAAUAGGUUUAUUUCUAUCAUUUGUCUUCGAAACUUCCAUGUCUUGAAGACUUCCAUAAAAAUCGCCUAUUCACCCCCCCUCUAGUCGAUCACUAGCACUUUCAAUUGGUAUCAGAGCAAGGUACUCCCUUGUUCUGUGUGAUUCGGUUUAACCACCUGGAGUUUUAGCUAUGUCGACUGUAGGGAUAAUCAAGGUCUCCGCUGCUUGUCCCGUCUUCGAUGGAACUGAAUAUCCCUACUGGAAGAAUAAGAUGCGCAUGCAUCUUGAAGCCAUUGAUGUCGACCUAUGGUAUGUCGUCAAGAAUGGCGUUCCCAAGGCUGGUGAAGGUGUCACCGCUGUUGAUGUCAAGAAGUUCGUUCAACUGGACUCCACUGCCAAGAACAUCAUCUAUGGUCAUCUGACCAAAGGAUAGUAUGGCCGCGUGAGUGCUUUGGAAACAUCUAAGCUAGUCUGGGACUGGCUCUCCAAGGUCAAUGAAGGUGUCUCAACCCAGAGAGAUCAGAGAAUCAGUGUCCUUCGCAACCUCUUCAACCGCUUCAAGAGAAAUGACAAUGAGAACGUCCAGCUCACGUUUGAUCGACUCACUGACAUCACAAAUGAGCUUCAAGCUCUCGGCGCCACUGAGAUCACCAAGCAUGAAGUCGUCAAGGCACUCCCGAGAUCACUUGAUAGCUCGUUUGACACCCUAGCCCUGAUGAUUCAAGAACGUCCUGAUUUCAAGACACUCGAUCCGUCUGACAUACUUGAGAGGCUCAACACACAUGAGUUUCAGCUUUCUGAGAAAAGAGACAUCUAUGGUCCCAACUAUGGGCGAACUCGUGCCUUGAAGGCAAAAGCUGUCUCCUCAUCUGAAGAAGAAUCUGACAGUAGUUCUGAUGAUCCUGAAGACAUUGGAAAGGAGCUUGCUAUGCUUGUGAAGAAGUUUCAAAAAUUCACCAAGAAGAAAGGCUUCAGAAAGUCUUCACGAUCAAGCUCAAGGAAUGAUGAAGCUUCUGCUCAUGACUACAAGAAGAGAACAUGCCACAAGUGCAAGAAACCUGGCCACUUCAUCUCUGAGUGUCCGCAGUGGGACAAUGAGAACAACAAGAAGAAGAAGAGCAAGGAAUAUGACUCUGACGACAAGAAGAAGAAGAAAUACUCAAAGUCUUCUUCCAAGUCUUCCUCUAAGUCUUCAUCACACAAGAAGAGCUCAUCUGGCAAGGCACGUGUGUUUGUUGGCAAGGAAAUGGAUUCAGAGGAGGAGUCCGCUUCUGAGGGGGCGGAGGUGGAGUCUGAGGAGGAGUCCGAUUCUGGCGUUGCGAGUCUGGCUACAACAUACGUUGCCAAGUCCAUCUUCAACACUGAAGACAAUGACUUCAUCACUGACACCGAUGCAAAUGACAAGGACUACUCCGCUCCUACCUACUGCUUCAUGGCAGGCGGUGCCAAGGUAAACACACGCACUACUCACUAUCAAACAUCUAGUGAAGAUGACUCUGAUUGUGGUUCCAAACCCAGCUACAAAACACUUGCUAAAAUUGCAACUGAACAACAGAAAGCUAUGGAACAUAUUCAAAAACUGUUAGACAAAAGCGAUGAUCUGUUAGACACUGAAAUGACUCGAUCUCAGUCCUUAAUUGAAGACAUAAAAAAUCUUCACGUUAAGUAUGAGGAACUUGAAAGUCGUCAUGAAACGCUCUCAACAACUCAUGAAAAGCUUUCCUAUGAUUAUCUUCAAAGGAAGCAAGAUCUUGAGAAAUUGAGAGCGGCUCAUGAAGAUCUUCAAAAGGAAAACGAGUCACUUCGCGCCGAACAGAUCAGUCCCGCUCAGGAAGGAUUUGAACCACCAUGUCUUAAAUGCCUUGAGCGUGAUAACGCUACUUUUGUUGCUGAAUGUUCUACUGCUGCUCCUGUUGCAAUAUCUUCAACUGAUGAUGUGGUAACUAACCCCUCUGCUGAGGAUACCACUGCUAUUGCUGAUGAGAAUGCUACGUUGAAGACAUUGCUUGAAACAGGGAUGUACAAAAGUCUCAAAGGGCAUCAAACACUAUGUGAUGUCCUCAAAAGGCAGAUCCUGAACCAAAACCCUAGGAAAGAGGGUGUUGGGUUCGAAAGGAAAAUGAAUGUUGAUGGCUCUUACUGGAAACCUGAGCAGUACCCCAAGACCACAUGGGUUGCUGCAAAGGAACCUUCAGCGGAUCCAUCCACCCUAUCUGGCUUCACUUGUGCUAAUCCCAUUAUUAUUGAUGAAUCCUUUGAUGCAAACUAUAAACUGUUUACGAAUCAGAAUGGUGAAGUGUUUGCCAGGUAUAUUGGUACUAACUGCAGGAAUGGACCGCCUAUGAAGAAGGUCUGGGUGCCGAAAAGGUGUUUGGAGAAUCUUCCUGUGAAUGUCAUCAUGACACCACAGGUGAAGAAGACAAACCCCAGACCACAGGCUUCAUAUGAUCCAAAGGCUUCAUCCAGACAGAGGACUCACCUGAGUCGCACUAACGCAAAUGUUUUGCAGGGAAACUAUACUCAUGCCUGUGAAUAUGUGCGCGUUUCAUCAAACCACCAUGUUCAUAAGACCAACAACUAUUCUGCUUAUUCUUAUGAGCACUAUUGUCCACCUGCAAGACUUUUUGCUAGGGCUCCAAAGCCAAAGUUCUCAGAUGCUGCACUUAGACUCAUUACUUCGAAGCCACCCUUGAAGAUAUGGGUGGCUAAGAAAGCUUAACUCUCUUUUGCAGGGAAAGGUCUCCAGCCGAAAACCAAAAUCGUCUGAUGCUAUUGCCGGGGACCUUAAACAUCUUGUAGGGUGCAAGAUCAAAUGCCCAAAUGGUCUUAUUAUGUAUUUUGUUCCUGAGUCACUUGCCACUUGCUCUAUCAGUCCUACCCUUGAUUUAAGCCUUCAUAAUCCACUUGCUCGUCAAAUGUUUAUGCUUCACAAUUCUCUUCAUGAAGCCUAUCCCCCUAACUGCACUGUAGGGUACGACACCAGCUGCUUCAGAAUGGAUUAUUGAUAGUGGGUGUACCAAUCACAUGACUGGCAAGCGAAGCCUUCUUAUGGACUCAACCUUACGUCCAUCUGACAAAAGUCACAUCACAUUUGCUGACACUAGUAAAAGCAAGGUAUUGGGUCUAGGUAGAGUUGCAAUCUCAAAGGAUCAACACAUGGAUAAAGUCAUGCUUGUUGAAUCCCUUGGUUUCAACUUAAUGUCUGUCUCAAUGCUUUGCGAUUUAAACAUGAUUGUGAUGUUUGGAAAAUAUCGUUGCCUUGUUCUAAUGGAAUCUGACAAGUCUCUAGUGUUUGAAGGGUACCGGAAAGAUGAUUUGUACGUGGUAGAUUUCUUAACAGGUCCACAACUUGCCGUAUGUCUUCUAGCAAAAGCUUCUGAAUGCUGGCUCUGGCAUCGGAGGCUAGGGCAUGCUGGCAUGAGGAACCUCCACACCCUUGCAAGGAAGAAGCAUGUCAUAGGCAUCGAGGGCGUCAACUUCAAGAAGGAUCACUUAUGCGGUGCCUGUGAAGCAGGAAAGAUGAUGAGGGCCAAGCAUCCCUCGAAGACAAUCAUGACAAAGACUCAACCCUUCGAAUUGCUCCACAUGGAUCUUUUUGGUCCCACUCAUUACUCAACUCUUACUACUACUGCUUGUCUCUAUGGCUUUGUCAUUGUUGAUGAUUAUUCAAGAUAUACUUGGGUGCAUAUAAUCCUCUACAAGACUGAAGUGCGGGAUGUCUUCAGACGCUUCGCCAAUCGAGCCAUGAACAACUAUGGCGUCAAGAUCAAGCACAUCAGAAGUGACAAUGGCAUUGAAUUCAAGAACACUGGUCUAGACACUUAUCUUGAUACAUUGGGCAUCACACAUGAAUUCUCAGCUCCGUACACACCACAGCAGAAUGGCGUCGUGGAACGCAAGAACAGAACACUCAUUGAGAUGGCCCGGACAAUGCUUGAUGAAUACAAGACUCCAAGAAAGUUCUGGCCUGAAGCCAUUGAUACUGCAUGCCAUAUCAUCAACCGUGUGUAUCUUCACAAACUUCUCAACAAGACAUCCUAUGAGCUCCUUACUGGCAAGAAGCCAAAUGUCAGUUACUUCAGAGUAUUUGGUGCCAGGUGCUGGAUCAAGGAUCCACAUCACACUUCAAAAUUUGCACCAAAAGCACAUGAAGGUUUUAUGCUUGGAUAUGGAAAGGAUUCGCACUCCUACAGAGUCUUCAACCUUUUUCACUAUAAAGUGGUUGAAGCAGUGGAUGUGCGGUUCGAUGAGACUAACGUCUCACAAAGAGAGCACCUGCCAAAUGUGCUAGAUGAAGUUCCAUCCAGUGAAUCAAUCAAACUUAUGGGAACUGGAGAAAUCAUACCUUCUGAAGCUCAGCCUGAAGAGGAAUUUAUCAUCUCCGCACCUGAUCAACCUGAAGACAAUGAUCAACUUGAAGACAAUGCUCAGCCUGAAGACAAUCCUUCUAACGAUGACAAUGACCAGCAAGAGCAAAAUCUUCGUCCUGUACAUCCUCGUGUCGCAAAUGAAGUACAGACUGAGAGAAUAAUUGAUAUCAUUAAUGCACCAGGUCCACUCACUCGUUCAAGGGCAACACAGCUAGCAAAUUUCUGUGGGCACUUCGCAUUCGUCUCAAUAUCUGAACCCAAGAAAGUUGAAGAAGCCUUCAUGGAACCUGAAUGGAUUCAAGCUAUGCAAGAAGAGCUUCAACAGUUCGAGCUGAAUAAUGUAUGGGAACUAGUUAAGCGUCCUGAUCCUCGCAAGCACAAUAUAAUAGGCACCAAAUGGAUAUAUCGCAACAAGCAAGAUGAGCAUGGUCAAGUUGUCAGAAACAAAGCUCGUCUCAUUGCUCAAGGUUACACUCAAGUUGAAGGGAUUGACUUCGAUGAAACAUUUGCUCCUGUGGCUAGACUUGAAGCCACACGCAUACUGCUGGCCUAUGCAAAUCAUCAUAACAUUCUUCUGUAUCAAAUGGAUGUGAAGAGCGCUUUUCUCAAUGGCAAGAUUGAAGAAGAAGUGUAUGUUGCACAACCGCCUGGCUCUGAAGAUCCAAAACAUCCUGACAUGGUGUACAAGAUCAACAAGGCAUUGUAUGGCCUCAAACAAGCCCCUCAGGCUUGGUAUGACACUCUCAAAUACUUCCUGAAGAGCAAAGGCUUCAAACCUGGUUGCCUCGACCCCACUCUCUUCACGAAGACAUAUGAUGGUGAAAUGUUUGUGUGCCAAAUAUAUGGGGAUGACAUUAUCUUCGGCUGCACCAAUCAGAAAUACACUGACGAGUUUGGAUAUAUGAUGCAAGAGCAAUAUCAGAUGUCCAUGAUGGGUGAGCUGAAGUUCUUCCUUGGUCUUCAAAUACGUCAGCAACACAACGGCAUCUUCAUAUCUCAAGAUAAGUACCUCAAAGAUUUCCUGAAGAAAUUUGGGAUGCAAGACUGCAAAGGCUUCACGACUCCAAUGCCAGCCAAACAUCAUCUGGGUCCCGACGACAAUGGUAAAGAGUUCGAUCAAAAGGUAUACCGCUCCAUGAUUGGUUCUUUACUGUAUCUAUGUGCAUCUAGGCCAGAUAUUAUGCUUAGUGUUUGCACGUGUGCUCGAUUCCAAGCGGCGCCAAAGGAAUCGCAUCACUUAGCUGUGAAGCAAAUUCUCAGAUAUUUGGCUCACACCCCAACAUUAGGAUUAUGGUAUCCAAAGGGCUUAGAGUUUAAUCUAGUUGGAUUCUCGGAUGCUGAUUAUGCUGGUGACAAGGUGGAUCACAAGUCUACAUCAGGCACAUGUCAUUUUCUAGGAUGAUCACUUGUAUGUUGGUCUUCAAAGAAGCAGAACUGUGUAUCUCUCUCCACUGCUGAAUCUGAAUACAUUGCUGCCGGAUCUUGCUGCGCUCAGCUUCUAUGGAUGAAGCAAACACUCAAAGACUAUGGUAUUCAUCUGAAGCAAGUGCCACUCUACUGCGACAACGAAAGCGCCAUCAAGAUUGCCAACAACCCAGUUCAGCACUCGAAGACAAAGCACAUUGAAAUUCGUCAUCACUUUCUCAGAGAUCAUGUUGUGAAGGAAGAUAUUGAUAUCAUACACGUCAACACUGAAGAGCAAUUGGCAGAUAUCUUCACCAAGCCCUUGGAUGAGAAGAGGUUUUGCAAGUUACGGUGUGAGCUAAAUAUCUUGGAAUCCUCAAAUGUCCUGUGAUCAGGCACACAUCCUAACACUUAUGCAUACUGAUGACUUAGAUGUGCAACACACGAAGUAAAGCAUAUCUUCAAUCAAUGAAGACUUACAUUCUAAGUGUGAAUACAUUAAUGUGGAAUUUGACUUCGGAGCGCCACGAUAUUUGUGCGCCGUGUCUGGGUCUAAUACUUCCUAUACGGUGGGUAACGCCACCACCAAAAUUUUCUGUUUGAAGUGUUUCACUCAUGGUGUUACGUUUGGUAUGUCUUCACAUUUGGUUUGGCUUCAAUUUCAACUUGUCUUCAUGAUUAUCUUCACGAUGUUGAUUUGAUUGUCUUUCUUAUAUAUACAUAUAUAUACUAGUGUUCUGUCCUCUACAACAUUCACUUAUAGCUAUGUCUUCUUGUUGAAUCUUUUGAACUAAGUGAAUGUGAUCGGACCCUAACCUCUUUAUGCUUUCUAUCUCAAACUCUAUCUCUCCAAAUCAUAUUCAUUCUAUUGAAACUGUCGAAUAUCUUCUCUGCGUCCUUGUCAGCAGAAGAUACAGAGACAAACAUUAAGUCUGUUUCAAUGCUAAUUCCUUCACCUGAAACCCGGAGAAGUGGGAACGACCACCCGACAAUCCAAGCGUGCGUGGGAACGUGGAACAACCUCCGAUAUGUUGCAUGAUGGCCACGUGUCCUUCAGAUGUAAAUCGCCAGGGGCACCUGUGUAAUAACACUGUGCCGUCCCUAUCCCUAUAAAUACACGCCUCACCAUAGUCAUUAUCCUUUCUUCCACUCAUGCACAAACCCUAGCACCACCGCUAGCCCUCGACGACGCCGACGACGAAGUGCAUAGCUGCCUCGACCUCACCGACGCCGUCGCCGUAGGUGUCCUCCGUCACCAAGUUAGGGCACGGACGAUCAAUCUGCUCGGCCUCCUCUCCCACUCCGUCUAGCAGUUCUUUGUGUGGUAAAUAAAACUUCCUUUUUACGCCCCCCUUGAUCCUAUAAAUUCAUCACUUUCUACCACAAGCAAUUUCUAUUCACACGAGUUGGAUCUAAUUCAUACUGCAUCUCAUAAUAUGCCUAGUAUGUUCACUUAUGCUUCACAAAGUAGUUAGAUUCCUCACUUGUACUUAUCCGUGGAUUCGUACAAAUCUGGAACCAACUCUCUAUCUAUGAGUGAAUGUCUUUGCACUAUGAGGUCAAUGUCUUCUAAACUGAUUUAUCUUCAAAAUCUUCUGAGAAUGCAUAUGACCUCUUCCCCUUCCCUCGCACCUUAAUGCUGUCACAGCUACAUGUUCGUGGGAGAAUCCCUUGGUUCUCAUAGUCUGCAUUCAUUUGCAGAAUUCUUACAACAUCAUAUAAAUUCUCCCGAAGCCAGUUCCUGCUUGACCAGCAAGCGAAAGCCUUUGAAACCUUUGAACGUGUUGAAGCCAUUCAGUUUGAAGAUCAUGGCUACAGAGAAAUCGGCAAGGAAGGGUGGUAGGAAGCGUCGAGGUGGAACAUCAAGAGAUCUGCCUGAUGACCUCUCAGAGCUGUACAAGACAGAUCCAGAAGAGGAUUACACUCAGCGCGAGACACGAAUCCAAUGGAUUCGACGAUAUUGGGCAGAACAGUGGUUCAAGUACAGGUUUGUGACCAAGGAAUAUGCUGAGAAGAAUGCCAUCAAGCGACCAUGGGGAGACAUCCUCUAUAGAAAUCUUCAACCCAGGUCCAGAGAUGAAGCCAUUGAACAAGGCUUCUAUCCCUGCAUGGUCCAUGGAUCACAGCCUGCGGAUGCAGACCCAUCGUCAUUGCUAUGUUGUCGUGACGACAAUCUGUUCAAGCGCAACUUCCAGUUUGCCAAGAAUUCGGUGAAGCAAAACAAGAAGUCAUUGGGACUAGACUUCAACCCUGGUCCCUCUGCUCCCCGUGCCGAUGGCACCUGCGAAGCUGAAACCAAUCUUGUUGGGCCCUUCUACAACCUGGCAGGUCUCAUCACUCAUAUCAUGGUUCAAGGGACAGCCGUGGAUGAGCCUGCAGAUGACGCUGAAUCUGAUGAAGCGCCUGCACCGCCGAAGCCAAAGAAAUUGAAGAAGCCUAAAGCUUCAAAGUCUGCCUCAGCACCAAAAAUCUCACGUGCGAAGCCACUGGCUACUGCACCUCCUGAAGACAGUGUGCAGUUUGAAGAUCUAUCACGCAUCUCCAAGAAGACUGAGAUGAGAAAGAGUACUGAUCAGGCACUAACUGCUGCUGCUAUUCUGCACAACGACGCCAUUGAUCUGUCCAGUGAUGAAGAUCUUGCAGAUGACGCUCUUGAGUAACUGAUCAAGAGAAAGGAAGAAGCAGAGAUCUUUAAUGAUUUGCCUCUCUUUGAUGUGGCAAUCAUCCAUGACUUCAUUGAUGAGUGGUUUGACACGCCCAACCUCAGCUUUGAAGAUCUGCAACUUCCAAUUGGCCUCAGUGUCGCCUUCACUGGCGCCAUUGCUUCUGAGCUAGCUCUAGCUCAGCGCAUCGUUGAACUUAAGCAAAAGAUCGACUAUGAGAAAGCUCAGUUCAAGAAGCACAUGGCCAAGCUCAGCGUGCAAGAUGUGAAAAACUUCAAGAUUAUGCUGCACGAGCUCAAGGAAGCCUUUCUUAAGAAGCAUGAAGAAGCUCAAGGUUCUUGUGAGCACAUGAAGAGCCUGGCUGACAAGUGCGUGCAAGCCUACAAUGAGGCUGAGAAGCGCAAGGCUCUUGGUCGUCCUGGCAUCGACCCCAGAAUGGCUGCAAAGAAGAAGAAGCCCUCAACUGAUCAAUCUGCACCUUCAAGGCAGGAAGAACCUCGCAUAGUCUUCCCAAGCAGCAUGACUAGUUCGAAGCCAAAGGUCAGGUCAACUGCAUCAGAACUGAAGAAGACGAGGACUGCCGAGGCUAAAGCUAGAAAAAGGAAAAAUCCUGAAGCUUCUGAUGUCGCUCCCUCUAAGAAGAAGCGUAAAACCAAGAAGGAUCGGGCUGCUCCCAUAGAGCCCCUAGUUGUUGAACCUAACUCAAUGGUUCGCCCUGCAUCUGAACACCAUGAGCACCAACUGAUUGUUCAUGAGCCUGCUUCCACAGAGGCUCAUGAAGCUGAAGACAUUCCAGCAGUUGAUCCCACCGCUGCUGAAGACAUUGUUCACCAUGACAAUGUUGAAGAUGAUGUAGUUCUUCCUCAGAUCGAGAACCAACUGGUAUCAUCGCCUGUGCUCACACACAGCGAACUCAUCAACAUUGGUCGUCCUGUGACGCCAAUUGCUCAGGAUGCAUCGUGGGCUGAUCACCCACAACAACAAGACACCCAAGUACUCCCCAACAACAACAAGUCACACCACCUGUUCCAGACGAAGAAAACGACUUUGAGGCCCAGCCAACUCCAUCUCCACAGGCGUCGCCAGCGCUACGUAGGCUUCGCAAAGGACCAAGGCCUCAAGUCCCCCUUUUGAGCGUUCCAGAAGGAGAAGUGCCCCAAUCUGUUGCACGUCAAGUGUUCCCAGAAGCCACUCCGACUGUGAAUGUCUCUGUGUAUGAAGCCAAAGGUGCUGAAGACAAUCCGGCUGCAUCAGCCGAUGACACACAAGAAGAAGAUCGUGUCCCUACACCCCCAAUCUCUGAUGAAGAUGUUCCUGAAGUGAACGUAUCUGUGCCCGACCCUCCAGCUCAUCAAGUGGAGGUUGAGAAUCCUGAGGCUGCCACCACCAACACAAAUGAAGCCAAUGACGUAGUCAUGGCUAAAGCAAAUGUGGAGCCUGCACCAGCCCAUGUGCCAGAGGCCAAUGAAGCCAAUGAUGCACCUGCAACAGAUGUGCAGCCUGAAGCCUCUAUUGAUGCCACUGCUCCUGUUCCGCCACCAAGGCCACACACUAUCGAGCAAGCAUUCAACUAUGGCCAACUUGUCACUGUCAAAUGGCCCAUUCUGACUCCUCCGCCUGGUGCUGGCCCUCAGUUUGACUAUCACGUUGAGCACAGGCCUCAGGUUCAGAAGCCAAUACCAAGGUUGCCCAGGUUUCCAGGCACUGCAUCUGCACCCGGAUCAUUCAAUAUCAAUGGCUUCAAGGCACACAACACCUUCUUUGAUAGCGCCAAGAACCCCUACACCAAGGCAAGAAUAUCUUCUGAUCGGUUCUGGAGCUAUCAGCAGCGCAGUUAUUACUCAUGCAUUCUGUACACUCAAGGCUGCAUUUUCCCACAUAUGCGUCUUGACACUGAAGCCAUAACUGGACUGCGUUGUUUGGAAGAAGCUCUGGAUUGCUUCGGAGAGUCUGGUUUGCUGCAGUUCGUCACUGAUAAGGAGCACUGGAAUGAAGAAUUGCUACUCCAAUUUUAUGCCACUCUUCGUAUCCGUGGCUACAACAGGGAUCCGAAGACUUGGGUCCUUGAGUGGAUGACAGGCAAUGUUCAGCAUGAAGCCAAAACCUUUGAUAUCAUUGAGCUUACUAGCCUGCCCACUCCAGGAGAUCUGUAUGAACCUGGUUGUCAGCUUCAUAGUGCUGCUAUGGAAAGCAUCUUCCACAAGCCUGAGCCCAAUAUGAGUUAGAUGCUUAGCAUGAUGAAGCCUUUGUCUCCAGAUGCUGAAUAUCCUAAGGAGUUCUUUGUUGAAGACCUUGAGUAUCUGCCACGUACUAUCUAAACUACACUCAACUGUCACCUAUCAGCCCUCUGCUCGCAAUCAUCAGAUCUUUCUGCCUGACGUCGAUAUGUCAGUUGAAGCCAUCUACCCAGAGCCUUCCAGGGAGCCCCUUAGUCUUCAGAAUGCUGAAAAACAAAGCUUCUCUCAAAACAUUGAAGGAGUUCAAGCAGUCACACAUGUUUAUCCUCUGGCUGGAACUACACGUGCACCUCAUCAUGCCCUCACUGAAGCCACUGAAAACACCAUUGCCCAAAGGCCCAAGAAGUGCUCCCGUGUUCCCAAUGACCGAGAGCUUCUGGUUGCCCUUCAUCAGAAAUAGGAUAGGCAUCAUGACUGGCUGAAGCGCCAAAUGCAAAGCCUCUUGGUGGACGUAAACAGGAUUCGCAAUCUUGCCACCAAGAAUGCCUUUGUUGCCCAUGAAACCUGUCGGCGUACAUGGAAAGGGCUAACACUUAUGUGCUCUGAGGAUGAUCUUCAAGAGGAUGGCUUCUCUGAACGCUUCAAAUUUGACUCAACACCUCCAAGAAGGAUUGUACUCCGACGAACUCCAUCUCUUGAAGACUCUGAGUUCUCCUCCUCUGCUGCAACUGUGAAUGCCAGAGUGAUCGAUGAUGAAGACGAUGCUACUUCACCGCCCCCUACUUCUGCACGCAUUGACACUGCCCCGAGUUCGUCUGCAUCGCCUAACAACACCGACGACCCUGCUGCUUCACCUACUCCUCAUGGGAAAGAGUAGGCGCUCUAUGUCUUCAAACCUUUUUGGUCCUCACUGACAUAAGGGGGAGAAGCAUAUGGGUUGAUAGUCUUCAAACGGGUCUAUAUGGGUGGUUGGUCUAUUUUUACUACUUUUGCCAAGUGCUUACAACUCUCGUUUUCGAUACAUUUGGUUCUUUGAGUUGUAACACUUAAACUCGAUGGUCGUCUGCUACUUAUUUGCUAUUCUGUGAUGCGGUGAUAAAUUCCGCAUGUGCGAGGAUAAAUUCCGCACUUAGAUCAUUUUGCAGACGUCCAUUUUUCAUUAUGCAUGUCAUUAUAUUCAUUACAUCAUAUCUUGCAUAAUGACUUGUCAUCAUAAGUUGAAGAGGAUCUCCACAAGUACAACCUGCCAUGUGCAUUUGCAUUCCAAAAGCAAAUUACUUAUAUGCACAUCUUCAGGGGGAGCCCUUGCAACUUAUGAACACAAUCCCCUAUCCUUUACAAUUUCACAUAUUAUAUUCCCCGUUGAAAACUUCAACUAGUUUGUCAUCAAUCACCAAAAAGGGGGAGAUUGUAAGUGCACCUAGUGCCACCCCUAGUUGGUUUUGGAGUAUUUACGACAAACCUAGUUGAGGGACUAAUGUGUUUGUGAGAAUUGCAGGAUAACACAGGUAGAAGUCCCUCAUUGAUUUAGUUUUCCUACCAGAGAUGACCCCUAAAAAUGAAUGAAGACAUUGAAGUCAAAGGUGGUAUGUGAAGACAUUCACAUUGAAGACUAUGACAAGAGAAGACAUCACAUGAAGACUAUGGAGCGCGAAGACUUAGUUGUUUCGUCGUUCUUUUUCUUCUUUGUUGAGUCAUAGGAACCACCGUACUGUUAAGUGGGGUCCAAGUGAACCAGUCAGAAUGACUGAAGUGAUGCUUAACCAAAAUCCUAUGUCUUCGAGUGAAGACUAUGACAGCAAAUCUUGUCCAGAGUUGGAUAAGUCAGCUUUGCUUGUAGCCCAAGUAAAGUUGCCGUGUGUGUUUGAAAUCUGACCGUUGGAACACGUGUCAGUUCCUUAGUGACCAAGGGUCAUUUCGGACAAAUCAGGUCGGGUUGCCUAGUGGCUAUAAAUAGUCCACCCCCUACAACCAUAAAUGGUUGGCUGCUCAAAGUUAGAGUACGACUUUUGUCGUUUGAGAGCAACCCGCCUCGAAGCCUUUGAGAGAGAAUUCCUUGCGAGGAUAAAGCCCUAAACACCCAGAGCCAAAGAGUGUUAGGCAUCACUUAAGUCUUCCCGUCUGUGUGAUCUGAAGACUUAUUACACUUGAGGACUGUGAAUCCUCCAGCCGGUUAGGCGUCGCGUUCUGAGCAUCCAAGAGUCAUUGUGGAUCAUCGGUGAAGGUUUGGAAGUCUACCUUGAAGACUUACCAGAGUGAUUGGGCGAGGAAUGGGUGUCCUUAGCUCAAGGGGAAUAAGGUGAAGAUGAGGUCUUCUGAGAAGAAUCUCAGCCUCCCUAACCAGACGUACAGUUGUCACAGCAACUGGAACUAGUCCAACAAAUCAUUGUCUUCAAUGAGUCAUUGGUUUCAUCCUUCCCUUCCCCUUGCCUACUGUUGGUCCUUGUGAAGUCAUUGUAUGAUUGCAUUAUCUUUUGUCUUCACUAAGUGACUACUUGUUCUGAUUGGCUUCACAAUAUCUUCCUACCUGAUCUUUACUGCCUAGUUGCUAUUAGUCAUUGUGCUUUCACUUCGUUGAAUACUUGACUAUGGUUUGCCUAGUGUAGUCUACCUUCCGCUGCAUGGUAAUAGGUUUAUUUCUAUCGUUUGUCUUCGAAACUUCCAUGUCUUGAAGACUUUCAUAAAAGUCUCCUAUUCACCCCCCUCUAGUCGAUCACUAGCACUUUCAGGUGGCCAUCUUCAUCAUCCCGGUGCUCUCCAUGAUGAGGAGGGAGUAGUUCUCCCUCGGGGCUGAGGGUAUGUACUAGUAGCUAUCUGUUUGAUCUCUCUCUCUCUCUCUCUCUCUCUCUCUCUCUCUCUCGUGUGCUUGAUUUGGCACGAUCUUGAUGUAUCACGAGCUUUUCUAUUAUAGUUGGAUCUAAUGUUUCUCCUCCCCCUCUACUCUCUUGUAAUGAAUUGAGUUUCCCCUUUGAAGUUAUCUUAUCGGAUUGAGUCUUUAAAGAUUUGAGAACACUUGAUGUAUGUCUUGCCGUGCGUAUCUAUGGUGACAAUGGGAUACCAUGUGAUUCACUUGAUGUAUGUUUUGGCGAUCAACUUGCGGGUUCCGCCCAUGAACCUAUGCAUAGGGGUUGGCACACGUUUUCAUCGUGAUUCUUCGGUAGAAACUUUGGGGCACUCUUUGAGGUUCUAUGUGUUGGUUGAAUAGAUGAAUCUAAGAUUGUGUGAUGCAUAUCGUAUAAUCAUACCCACGGAUACUUGAGGUGACAUUGGAGUAUCUAGGUGACAUUAGGGUUUUGGUUGAUUUGUGUCUUAAGGUGUUAUUCUAGUACGAACUCUAGGGCUGUUUGUGACACCUAUAGGAAUAGCCCAACGGAUUGAUUGGAAAGAAUAACUUUGAGGUGGUUUCGUACCCUACCAUAAUCUCUUCGUUCGUUCUACACUAUUAGUGACUUUGGAGUGACUCUUUGUUGCAUGUUGAGGGAUACUUAUGUGAUCCAAUUAUGAUAUUAUUGUUGAGGGAACUUGCACUAGCAAAAGUAUGAACCCUAGGCCUUAUUUCCAUGCAUUGCAAUACCAUUUACGCUCACUUUUAUCAUUAGUUACCUUGCUGUUUUUAUAAUUUCAGAUUACAAAUACCUUUAUCUACUAUCCAUAUACCACUUGUAUCACAAUCUCUUCGCCGAACUAGUGCACCUAUAUAAUUUACCAUUGUAUUGGGUGUGUUGGGGACACAAGAGACUCUUUGUUAUUUGGUUGCUGGGUUGCUUGAGAGAUACCGUCUUCAUCCUACACCUCUUACGGAUUGAUAAACCUUAGGUCAUCCACUUGAGGGAAAUUUGCUACUGUCCUACAAACCUCUGCACUUGGAGGCCCAACAACGUCUACAAGAAGAAGGUUGUGUAGUAGACAUCAAGCUCUUUUCUGGCACCGUUGCCGGGGAGGUGAGUGCUUGAAGGUAUAUCUUUAGAUCUUGGAAUCGUGUCUUUUAGUUUCUUGUUUUAUCUCUAGUCUAGUUUAUAAAAUAACACUAUAAAAAAUGGAAUUGAGUUUGUCUCAUACGCUUCACCUUUUUAAUAUCUUUCGUGAGUAUGAUGGAAAGGAUAAUUGUGCUCAAGUGCUAGAAGAAGAAAUCUAUAAAAUGUUUGGCACUAAAUCUUUGAAUGAUGAGCAUGAUUGCAAUGUUGUUAGUAUGAAUUCUUUGAAUAUCCAUGAUACUAAUGAUGAUUGCACUAGUUAUGAUGAAAAUGUCUCCUAUAAACAUGUCAAUUUUUGUGGAGUACAUUGGGUUUGUAACUACACACCAAAUAGGGAAGAUAGAUAUUGCAAGAGGCAUAAAUACUUACAAACUAAAUUGUUGCAAGAAGAGCUAGAUGAAUGUGCUGAAAAUUUAAAUUAUGUUGGCCAUGCUUGUGAGCUUUGUAAUGAACGUGGUCAUUUAAUUAUCCAAUGCAAAUUGUUUCAUGAUCUAAUCGUGUCCAAAAAUUUUGAUGACUUGAUUUCCCUUGCACAUUAUAAUGAACUUAGUUUGCUUAUGGGCUACGAAGAAAUGAAACGUAUAACUAAGGAUAUUCCAAAAUUUGCCCUUGAUAGAGUUCUUCAUUUUGACCUAGAGGAAAUUUAUAUGUAUUGUGCGGUGAAUUGCAUUGUAAAUCCUUAUAUUGCCAACUACAUAAAGAAAAGAAAACAAAUAGAAGAUGAAGAGAAUACUAAUGAAAGGGAAGAGACUUCCCAAUAUCCUCAUAUUAUUUCUUAUGAUGAAUCAGGUAACGAGGAGGAGCCUCCUAUUCAACCAAUCUCAUCAAUAAGGAGCUCCAAAAAGAGGAUUGAACCCACACAUGAUGUGGUGAAGAAGAAGAAAAGAAAAAGGAAGAGAAGUAAAAAGAUAUCUCUCCCAAAUAGUACUGCUCCUAUUACUAUUGUGCCUCAUGAAAUAUAAUUGUGGAAGAUAAUGAUACUUCUUAUGAUCUUGAAAAUCUUUUUGGCACUUUCUUGGAAGAAUAUGAUAAUUGUUAUACUAUUGGUGCUAUCCAUACUAUUAAUGAUGAGAGUGAUUAUGCUUAUAAUAUGAAAAGGCCCAAGCUUGGGGAUGCUAUGUUUGAAGAAGAUGAUGUUUUUGAGAAUAUAUUUGCUGCAAUUUAUGUUUGUCCCAAGCUUGGGGAUGCUACGCUUAAUGAAGAUGAUAUUUUUAGUAUCCCCAGUUUUGAUAUGCAAAUUUAUAAUGAUAACAACAUGCCUCCUACUUAUGAUAAUUAUUGUGAUGAUACAUAUGCUAUAAAAAGUAGUGAGGAUUAUAUUUAUAAAACUUUUCAAGAUUAUGGUUACCCCUUUUCUGAACAUUACUCCUUUAAUGUGGAAACAAUUUAUAGUAUCCAAGUCUCUUAUGAUACUCCCACUAUUCUGAAUGAGAAGAAUUUUGCUUAUGUGGAGAGUAAUAAAAUUUCUAUGCUUGUUAUAUUGUUGAAUUCAUUCAUGACGCUACUGAAAAGUAUUAUGAGGGAGGAAUAUAUGCUUGUAGGAAUUGCAAUAAUAUCAAGUUUCCUCUCUAUGUGCUUAAAGUUUUGAAGUUAUGCUUGUUUUACCUUCCUAUGCAAGUUGAUUCUUGUUCCCAUAAGUUGUUUGCUCACAAAAUCCCUAUGCAUAGGAAGUAUGUUAGACUUAAAUGUGCUAGUUAUAUUCUUCAUGAUGCUCUCUUUAUGUUACAAUUCUUAUCUUUUAUGCGAGCAUCAUUGAAAUCAUCAUGCCUAGCUACGGGCGUUAAACGAUAGCGCUUGUUAGGAGGCAACCCAAUUUUAUUUUUGUUCCUUGAUUUUUGUUCCUAUUUAGUAAUAAAUAAUUCAUCUAGCCUCUGUUUAGAUGUGGUUUUAUUGUUUUAAUUAGUGUUUGUGCCAAGUAGAACCUUUGGGAAGACUUUGGGAAAGUCUUGUUGAUCAUGCUGUAAAAAACAGAAACUUUAGAGAUCAUGAGAAUUGCUGCCAUUUUUAUUUGGAGAGUGCUAUUUAGUUAAUUAUUUUUGCAGAUUAUUAAUAGAUAAAUUCCUCAGGUCCAGAAAUUUAUUUGAUAAUUUUAUGAGUUCUAUAAGUAUACGUUUGAUCCAGAUUACUAUAGACUGUUCUGCUUUUGACAGAUUCUGUUUUUCAUGUGUUGUUUGCUUAUUUUGAUGAAUCUAUGGCUAGUAAAAUAGUUUAUAAACCAUAGAGAAGUUGGAAUACAGUAGGUUUAACACCAAUAUAAAUAAAGAAUGAGUUCAUUACAGUACCUUGAAGUGGUGAUUUAUUUUCUUAUACUAACAAAGCUUACGAGUUUUCUGUUAAGUUUUGUGUUGUGAAGUUUUCAAGUUUUGGGGAAGGAUUCAAUGGACUAUGGAAUAAGGAGUGGCAAGAGCCUAAGAUUGGGGAUGCCCGAGGCACCCCAAGGUAAUAUUCAAGGACAACCAAAAGCCUAAGCUUGGGGAUGCCCCUGAAGGCAUCCCCUCUUUCGUCUUCGUUCAUCGGUAACUUUACUUGGAGCUAUAUUUUUAUUCACCACAUGAUAUGUGUUUUGCUUGUAGCAUCAAUUUAUUUUGUUAAUAUUUGCUUGCUGUUAUUUAGAACAAUGUUUUGCAUCUUUUAUUUCAAUAAAAGUGGCAUUGGUAGCCUUUACUUUGCCUAUUUUAGAAGUCCACAUGUUGCUGUUUGAAAACAGAAACUUUACGCUGUUGCAAUAAUUCCCUAGAAAAGUCAGAAUGUGAUAAAAUGUUGAAAACUUUUGCAUAUUAAGCUCUGAUAAAUUUACUACAGUGGAAAUUUUAUUUCGUAAUUUUUGGAGCUAGGGAAGCAUGGAUGUUGCAGCAUUCUUUAAAGACUAUCCUGUUUAGGCAGAUUGCUGUUAUGUUUGCAUUGUUUGCAUAUGUUUGCUUCUUUAAUGAUUCUAUUUGAGGAUAGGACUAUUAAAUAUGCAGAGGCAUUUAAUAUGCAAUGUUGAAUAAUAAUUUUAGUGAUUUUCUACAGUAGAGUAUGAUAAGGUUUUUGCAAUGGUUUAUACUAACUUAUCUCACGAGUCCUUGUUGCAUUUUGUGUGGAUGAAGCUUUUGAGAUUUAGGGAGACCGUGAUAUGAGAGGAAUUAAGGAGACACAAAAGCUCAAGCUUGGGGAUGCCCAAGGCACCCCAAGAUAAUAUUUCAAGAAGUCUCAAGCGUCUAAGCUUGGGGAUGCCCCGGUUGGCAUCCCACCUUUCUUCUUCAACAACUAUCGGUUAGUUUCGAUUGAUCCUAAGUUUUUGCUUCUUCACAUGAUGUUUGCCAUUCUUAGAAUGUCAUUUUGUUUUGCUUUGCUUGCUGUUUGAAUAAAAUACCAAGAUCUGAAAUUAUUAAAUGUUAGAGAGUCUUAGUUGCAUAAUUAUUCGACUACUCAUUGAUCUUCACUUAAAUCUUUCGGAGUAGUUUGUCAUUUGCUCUAGUGCUUCACUUAUAUCUUUUAGAGCAUGAUGGUAGUUUUAUUUUGAAGAAAUAGAUGAACUCUCAUGCUUCACUUAUAUUAUUUUGAUAGUCUUAAAUAGCAUGGUAAUUUGCUUAAAAUCCUAAUAUGCUAGGUAUACAAGAAGAAUAAUAAAAUUCUCUUAUGAGUGUGUUGAAUACUAUGAGAAGUUUGAUACUUGAUAAUUGUUUUGAGAUAUGGAGAUGGUGAUAUUAGAGUCAUUCUAGUUGAGUAGUUGUGAAUUUGAGAAAUACUUGUGUUGAAGUUUGUGACUCCCGUAGCAUGCACGUAUGGUGAACCGUUAUGUGAUGAAGUUGGAGCAUGAUUUAUUUAUUGAUUGUCUUCCUUAUGAGUGGCGGUCGGGGACGAGCGAUGGUCUUUUCCUACCAAUCUAUCCCCCUAGGAGCAUGCGCGUAAUACUAUGCUUUGAUAACUUGUAGAUUUUUGCAAUAAGUAUAUGAGUUCUUUAUGACUAAUGUUGAGUCCAUGGAUUAUACGCACUCUCACCCUUCCACCAUUGCUAGCCUCUCUAGUACCGCGCAACUUUCGCCGGUACCAUAAACCCACCAUAUACCUUCCUCAAAACAGCCACCAUACCUACCUAUUAUGGCAUUUCCAUAGCCAUUCCAAGAAAUAUUGCCAUGCAACUUUCCACCGUUCCGUUUAUUAUGACACGCUCCAUCAUUGUCAUAUUGCUAGCAUGAUCAUGUAGUUGACAUUGUAUUUUUGGCAAAGCCACCGUUCAUAAUUCUUUCAUACAUGUCACUCAUGCAUCAUUGCACAUCCCGGUACACCGCCGGAGGCAUUCAUAUAGAGUCAUAUCUUGUUCUAAGUAUCGAGUUGUAAUUCUUGAGUUGUAAGUAAAUAAAAGUGUGAUGAUCAUCAUUAUUAGAGCAUUGUCCCAGUGAGGAAAGGAUGAUGGAGACUAUGAUUCCCCCAUAAGUCAGGAUGAGACUCCAGAUGGAAAUAAAUAAAUAAAAGAGGCCAAAGAAGCCCAAAAAAAGGAGAAAAGAGGCCACAAAAAAAAAA
Molecule: long non-coding RNA, 87985 nt
Filed under: Triticum aestivum (bread wheat)
Lineage: Eukaryota; Viridiplantae; Streptophyta; Magnoliopsida; Poales; Poaceae
Description: long non-coding RNA (TAES_LNC020510)
Source: RNAcentral